Molecule: long non-coding RNA, 50604 nt
Filed under: Eutrema salsugineum
Lineage: Eukaryota; Viridiplantae; Streptophyta; Magnoliopsida; Brassicales; Brassicaceae
Description: long non-coding RNA (ESAL_LNC000110)
Source: RNAcentral
ACAUCAAAUUUGGUGUUAUUUUUACACUAAAUUUACCGUUUAGGUUGGAGAUGAAAACCUAAACGGAUCAGUAUAGGUGUACAACCUUCUAAAAAUAAAAAUCGGCUAUGUUUAUAAAUCGGUUUCUUUUCAUUUUACCAUAUAUUUUGCAACCUUCUUAAACUCAAAACCUACUUUGAUUGAUAACACAUAGAAAUACUAGAAUUUCGAUUCAUCCAAACCUCUCUCCAACACUAAAAGCAUAUGGUAUUCAACUGAGAAAAAACAGUUGGACGGUGUCGCAAUUAUUUACUUGACUCAAUAUGAGUCAUGACUAUAUGCCUUCUAAACGUAGAUUCUUCAGAAAAGUCAAUUCACCGCAGUAAGAUUUGGUGUUCAAAAUUCAUAAUAAGAAAAUUUAGUUUAGUUUUUUAUUUUAUUUUUUAAGCUAUGAAAAAUUAGUUUUUAAAUCAGGAAACUUUGGAAUAUAAAUAUAAAUAAAAAAGCCAUAGUUCAGAUUUUGUCUAUAUAUUUAAUAAAAGACAUAGUUCAGAUUUUAUUUAUAUUUUUAAUUACAUACAUGCAGAAGUCCUAAUGACCUUAGGAUAUGAUCUAUAGCCUGACUCGCAAUAACACACGCCACGCUAAAUUAAAAGUUUGAUACGAGCCGUGUGAACUAACUAUGAUUUAUUAUGACCACUAAAGUAUGAAAAUUAUGUUCCUUUCUAGCAAAUUUAAGCCGUUAAUCAUUCAAAAAAAAAAUUAAGCCGUAAAAUAGAAUGAAAAUAGCGUAGAAGAUAAUAAACGAAUAAUUGGCACGACGUUAAGCGUAACUUUACAUGGAAUGAUAGGGAGAAAAGUAGAUUUCACGUCAAUUAUUUAUAUUUUUUUCCUUUUUAUUUGCUUUGCUUUAGUGAUAAUUCACAUUAACUGGUAAUACACACCAUGUGAGAAAUGUUCAAAAAGGAACAGAGUAGGACAAGCUCGAAAGAUAAUUGUUUACCUGUCAUUUGUCUUGUCGCACUUUCUAAUUGUAUUUUGAGAACUCUAUUAUUAUUUUAUUAAAAACACUUAUCAUCUAAUUAGUCACUGUUAUAUUACCAAAAUUAGUUUAGUAAUAGACUAAUAGAAUAAGUCAAGGUAAUACGUCUUGUGCGCAAAAUUGAAAAUUCAAUCAAAAUGAUCUUUUCAAUUUAAAACGUCAGUCUCGUAAUUGUCUUUGUCCUACAAUUACAUUGCCACCAAAUGUAGUAGAUGUAAUGCAGGACAACUCGUUAAUAUUUUAUUUCUAUUUUACUUAUUUAAUUUUUAUAAUUCAACCACUAAUUACAACAAUAGAUUAUUCAAGUGAACGAAUCAAUUUAGAAUCAUUGAUUGAAAACUGCGAACGACACGGCCGGUUGAAACCUGAUCCACAAAUUGUCCCAAACAAUUAAUAUUUUGAACCAAUCUAUAAAAAUUAUUAAUGCCUUCGGGGGGAGACCAAUCAAUUUGAUUUCUCGUUUGAAUAAUGUAGAUCGGUUCAAAUUUCUUAGUUAAGAAAAUCAAUGAAAUUGGAUAAAAAUAAGAAACAAAUACUCCCUCCAGAUUUAUUUAGUUGUCGUUUUAAGGUUAUGCACACAGAUUAAGAAAAUAUUAAUUGUAUUAGUUUUUCAAUAUAAAAACAUCAUUAAUUAUUUAUUUAAACACAAUUUAACUAAUAAUAAAACAAAUUGCAUAAUAAAAAUAAUUAUAAAAAUUAAAAAACUAAUAAAUGUUACAUUAAAAACUGAAAACGACAAUUAAUUUAAAAUAAACAAAAUUUUCUAAAACGACAACUAAUAAAAAACGGAGGGAGUAAUAAUUUGUAACAAACUACAAAAUAAUGAUUAUAUAUAUAUAAUUUAGAUAACAAAUAAAUUUUUGUGUUCUUCAUCUUCAAUGAUGAUAAGAAAAUACGAAUAAAUUUAGGUUACUUCUUUUUUUAUGUGGGUAGCUUUGCAUCAUCCAUGUAUUACUCCAAUUAUUAAUUUUCAAUCGCUCUCAGUGCAAAAAGUAUGUAAAUAAAAAAGUAUUAACAGAAAAUAUCGAAUUGUUUUUCCUUUCUCUAAAGUACUGUCUAAUCAGUGACAAAAAAAUACAUAAGAUAGACGUUUAAAAAAAAUACACAAGAAAAAAAUAAAAAAAUUUAUGUGAUGCUCAACCCUAAAAUACUAAUGCAGGUGAUAUGUAUCUGAAAUUAGCAGCCUCUUAAAUUAAAAAAAAAUCUAGAUUUAAACAUUGAUAAAGACAAACUAACAUAUCAAACAAAAAACAAUUACACCACAACAAUCUAAAUCAAAUAAAAUAAAAAAGACUGAAAGAAGGUUGGCAAUAGGACCCACAAAACACACUGUCAGAAAAUCUUCAGAGUUUCAGAGAAGAAGAAGAAGAAAGAAAAAGAAGAAUCAAACAGUAGUAAAUCCCAGGAAUAUUAUAUUUUCUUACCAAAUCAAAAAACCUAUCUCUUCUUAUUCUUGUCUCUUCCAUUUCCAGAGAAUAUAGAUCCUAAACCAAACAUAUUCCCAGAAGGGACCAUGUUUAUAACCGGACUCACUCUAAUCCCUCCUCCAUGGCUUCCAUAACUGUAACCUCCGUAAUUUUUCUUCAAUGGCGGUUUCUGAAAGCUACUGUUACUCGAUGUAGAAGAAGAAGAUGAUGAUGAUGAUAAAGACGACGAUUGUUGUAGCUUUAUAUGCUCUGUUGUGUGUUUCCUCGAGCUCUGUUUCGGUUUACUCGACGUAGAACCGGUCGAAUUACUCCGGUUUAGUAACGGUAACGGACAUAGACUCCGUCCGUAACUACUUCCACAGUUUAAACUGCUGCUUCUCUUAAACCCCCAAAACGACUUCGUAUUGGGUUUCUCCUCCGUUACGGAGACGUCAUCGUCUUCUUCAACCGGUUUCCUCUGUUUCCUAAAAUCCGGUUUAGUCGGUUCGGUUGGACCGGUAUCGGGACCUUUCUGACCCGGAUUGCGUUUCUCGGGCGGUGGCGAUUCGGGUUUCUUCUUCUUCUUGAUUUCUGUUGGCAAGAUUUGUCCGUUACGGAAGAGUUCGUCGGCGGACCAAGAGCCUUGGUCGAAGCUUUCGGCGGAGUUUACGCCGCCGGGAAUGCAGAAAUCGAAAUCGAUGCUUGAAUUGAGACUGGACGGUUUCGAAUUCGACGAUCGUAAGGGACGUUUCUCGAUCGGAAUUGCAUCGGAUUGACAAAAGUCACGAGAAAAUGAGAUUCUUGGACUCAUAUUAGAAUUUUCCGAUAGAAGAUCCACCGCCAUUAUAGCAAAACGAACAAUUUCCGAAUUCUGAGAGAAAAGGAAGAGACUUUCUUGAAUAUUGAUAGAAAGAUAGAGAGACGUGGAGAGAUAUUUGGGGAAGAAGGUGAAGGUGGAACGAUAGGAAGGGUUAGAAUUUAAUUUAUAUUUUUUACAAGUGAAUUAAAUUUAAAUAAGUGUUUUGAUUUUGAUUUAAUAAAAUGGAAAAUAAAUAAAAAGAAUUUUCGGGUGAAAGAAAUUGAAAAAGUGAAAGGGAAGGAAUAAAUAAAGAAAUGCUAAUAGAAGAGGGGACAGAGAAGCGUGUCUCUUGCUACAUAUUCACAUGCAUGGGCCAAAAAAGGAUAUAUGUUGGUUCUUCACUUUGUACAAUUUUAUUUUCUAUGGUAUAAUUUUAUUUGAUGUAUAUCUUUUGAAAAUUCUUUUAAGAGAGGCUAUUUGGAUCAUUGAUCUGGGAAGAUAUGGAAUUUUUUAUAAAAUCCACUCUUAUUGGAUGUCCAAUAUUUCAAAAAGAUAAUGCAUUUCGGAAAUCUCUUCAUGUUAUAGGAUAUACCAUGUCAAAUUAUUUUACAAUAAUAUACAAUCUACCAUUAUUAUUUUGAAAGUUUAUAAACUAACAAAAAAAAAUCUAGGGUUAUUGAAUCAUUUCUAACUGUAAAUAAAGAGUCUGAAAUUUUUCAAAGAUUUGAAUAUAUGUACUUAUAGUUAUAUACUCAACCCCUUGAAAAUCUCUAGAAAAACUGACUUUUUUGGAGAUUUUUAGAAAUAAUAUUUCAAAUUUAUCAUUUUUUGUUGACUGAAUUAGGUUUACUGGGUACUAUAGAUGGGAGAUAUAGGUUUUUCCGACUCUGAUACAAUGAAAUAUAUUUUGAGACUAAAUUUUCUUUGAGUAUAUAUAGCUUCAAAAUAAGAAUGAUCAACUGAAGAUACCUUGAACAAAUGAAUGAAAAAAUGUAGUAUGUAUUUAUUUUUUAUGAUUCUCGAUGUUAACAAUGAUUUUGCUAAGUCUUUUGCGUAUGGGGAAGAUGCUUCUUUCAUCGAUCCUUCUGCUUUUAUAGCAUUCCAAAACUAAUUUCUCCGGUCAUUACAAGAAUUAAAUUCGUAUUAAUUCUUUCGAUUUAACCGUUCCCCUUUUUUAUUCUUCGGGCUUUGAACAAUUCUUGCUUUGCGAGGUAAUCAUCUUCUUUGUUUCUUUUGGUAUUUUUUUUUUUUAUUAGUCCACUGAAUUUGGAUGAUUUACUUUAAUUUAUUUGUGUAUUGUUCUCUCUAGGCUGUCAUGGAUCAGGUUCAUAGUGAAAUCCAACACUAAAAACAACGAUAUGAUCGAAAUUUUGAGAGCAGGUAGAAGAAUCUCUAAUAAUUUCAAAUAUAAAAUAAUCCACCAAAACUUUAACCUGGUUUGUAGCAAAUAAGUUUAGAGUGAGAUUAAUUCUCUAAUUGUGUGAGUUCACCACAGCCAAAAAAAACAAAAAAAAGAGCUACAUCCCCGUUAUGAACUUUUUUUCCUUCAGCAAAGGGGAAUCAAAUAAAAACGACUAACUUUUACAAAAAGAAAAAUACGGUUAAUACAAACACUACAAGAAAACAUUACAUAUUCCUACCAGAUAUUUCAUCAGAAAAUCGUAGGAAACCGGCUUUUCCUAUCAAUUUCCUACCAAAUAUUUUUGUAGGUUCUAUGCCGUCAGAAAUUUUCAAAGGUAGAAAAAUCGUAGGAAAUUUCCUACGAAAAUUUUGGUAGAAAAAUUUUGGCGGUAGGAUAUUCGUAAGGAAAAUACCUACCAAAUUACUUCCAUCUUUCUACGAAAUAUUCCUAUCAUUUUCCUACCACUUGAGAUUUUGUAAAAAAUAAAAUUAAUUUUAUAAAUUAAAAAAAUUAAAUUAAUUUCAGAAAUUAAAUUUAAACUAAAAGAUGAAUUAACUAUUAAUUCGAUUAUUAAUAUAUAUAUAUAUAUAUAAACAAAUUAAUUAAAAGAGAGAUGAAAAUCUUAUUUAUAGAAUAGCUUCAUCAUCCAAAUUGUCUCAGAUCAUCGAUGUGGGACAAAACCAAAGUUGAAAUGUUCCUACAAAAUUCCUACGAUUUUUUUACACAUAAUAUUUCGUCAGAAAUUAGUAGGAAAUUUCCUACGAAAUACUUACUAGUAUAAUGGUCAAUUGUAUCCUAUUACUUUCCUUUCAAAUUUUGACCGCGUGGUAAAUUAUUGGUAGAAAAUAUCCUACGAAAUUUCGACAUAAUUUUUGGUAGGAAAAUCCCUACCAAUUUCUUAUCACUUUUACUUUUUGUCAAAAUUACGUAGAAAAUUGGUUAUAAAAAUUUCUUACCAAAAAUUUCGUCAAAAUUUUCAUAGGAAUAUGAGAUGUUUUCUUGUAGUGAAACAAUUUAGCAGUACAAAUACUUGAAAUCUACAUAAACUUAGUCGGAUGUUAAAAACAAACAAGAAAAAUUUUUUAUGUAUAAUAUCUCAUACAAAAUACACUGCAUUUUUCUGAAAUGUCCUUCCAAAAUUGCACAUCGGUUUUUGAGUAAUUGGAGGAAAUAACAACAUGUUACUUACAUAAAAAAAUGUUUAGUUUUUGUCAUUUGACAAACUCGCUCUUGGUUUUUUUUAGCUCACAAAAAGAAAAUCAAAAGUUACAGAAAAUAUUUAGAUCGUAUCAAAACCCAAUCAAACCCAAAGUCAAUAAAAGUAAUCUAAAUCCAAUGAUAAGUCAAAAAACAUAUGUGCAAUGUUUGAAAUGUUUAGAGAGUCAACGUUGGGAUUCGUGUUGACUAAUGUGAUGAAGCAUUGAACAUAGACCAAUGGUGCCAAGUCACCGACCCGAGACUUUAACCAUACUAAAGUUUCGUCACGAACUCUAUCAAGUUAAAGAAGUGCAUUCACAUAUUUUAAACCAAAUCAAUGAUGCUUUUACUAUGGUGUACUAGGAAAUGCUACAUUUUAAAGUAUUCCUGAUGAACAAAUUUCAAACGAACACAUGUCUCGCUUCUACAUAUCCUUAUAUGUUGCUUGCGAUAACUAUAACCAAGUAAAAACAAAUAUAUUAGGUAAUCAGGUAUUCUAAAUGCUAGAAAGAUUAGUUGAAAUUUUAGCAAAAAAUGGUUAGAUGAUAGUAUAAUUCUUAUAAAGUAUAAGAAUAAUAAAAAGAAAAAACACGGUGGCAUUGUUGAUACUCCCCAAUCAAUACGAGCAGACACAUAUCAUAUAUAUAUCAAAAUUCAAGAAUAUAUAAGAUUUUAGGUUAGACCAUAACACAUAUGCGUUGUUAUCCACUUUUGUAAGUUGAAUAUGAAAUAUUUAUCUGGUAUCCUUUUACAAAAAAGAUUAAAAAAAAAAUGAAAUUCAUGUAUCUGAUCUAAGAUUUCGUUAUGUUUUUUUUUUUUCAUUGUCACGAUUGUAUCUUCAUUCCUUUUAAAUUUAGUGUCUACUUAGUUCCGUUGUAUACUUCUUAUACAUACCACUUGUAAAGCAGUGACAAAACCCUAAUUUCUAGUACUUAUAGUCGAAAGUAUACUUUUUCUUUUAAAACCAAAAAUUUCUGAGUCUAGACCCAUAAUAUUUUUGCCGGGAAUUAGACCAAGUUAAUUUAGUCUCUUUCCCACCGUCAAUUCUUUGAACCCAAAAAAAUGGGUUAGUUACCGAAGGCGGAUUAUAUUCAACAAUUAAUUCAAAUAUAGCUUCCUAUUUCAAGGAAAGAAAUAUUACUCAAAUAAAAUGAACUUCUGUGUAUUCUAACUAGAUGGGUCUUUAGUGAUAGAGAAGUCCAAACUCCUUCAUUUUAAUGAAUCAGACGAAUCAUAAGAGUUUGCUUUUAUAAAAAAAAAAAGAGCUUGCUUUUCAUCAAAAUAAAAAUCGAUUUUUGCUUAAAGUGAAAGUAAAGAAAUUGUUUGUGUGAUAGAAAGAAAAGAGAAAAGGAGAUUUCAUAUUAUCUAGAGAAUGAUAAGGAAAUUACAAAACAAUAUACACUUGUGAAUUAUAUAUGAAAACAGAAAAACAAAGUAAGCAUGGGCAUGGGUCCGAUGGCUACGUACUUACCGAAAACGAAGAAAGCCACUUAGAGAAACUGAAGGGUUGAUAAAUGGUCCACGUUUUCCCCUAAAUCCUUUCUUUUCAUAACCAUUGGGUCGCCCAUGAGCCCACCUAAAACCAACCCGACCCGAUUAGAUCCAACCAAGAAUUGUCUACUCUUCUUGAUCACUUUGCCUAUUUUGGCUGCUCUCGGUAAUAUUAACAAGAAGUUGUCCAAUUCGGUUAGGGUUUGGUUAUGAUGACAGAGAGUAAAAGAUGGUCCUGUCCGACAAAUAGCAUUGGUGCUGUUUUGCUAACAAGUACCGAACUGCUUUGUUCAGACCAAAAACAAAAAAUAAUCAAUCUGCUUUGUUCUCUACAGAAAUUGAUUAUAAAAGCUGAAAUGGUAAAAAAAAAAAAGUUGUUUCCCUUAAGUCAUGAAAAGAAGAAAUAUUGUUUUUGGUUCCGUUUGAUUUAUCAAUCAAUAUGGCCUGAAUCAAUAUGACCACUGAGAUAAUCAUCCAAAUCCAGAGAUAUGCAUGGUCGUCGCCCUCGUAUUAGAGAGGGUUGUGUGCAUGCUCAUAGGCUUACUUACAGUCCAAUUGACCUCACCAAAGUGAUAGAUUCCUUUCCCAAAAUCUUUUUGUGAAUAUGAAUAACAUAUUUCUUGAUGAUUUUUUUAUAGAUGCAACAGUAAAAAAUCUGUCGGAGGAUCUCUCGCCUACAUUUUAGUUUGCAUAAAAAAUGUGAAGUUUGGUUUACAUUUAAUGUAUACGAUUAUGGAUGUGGAUCUAUCGAUCUGUGUAUGUCAUUUUGAUGAUUCUUGGACGAGUGACGGUGCAACUAGUGGUUCUUGAUGGAUUAAUGGCACAUCCAGUUUAUUGGGUGAAAUCUCAACACCUUCAUCUUUAAACUCCAUAAAUGAUUUGGACAAUGAAAUGUCAACAACAUAAUCACGAUUUAUUUAUAUUUUGUGAAGGUUUUUAUAUGAUGACUUCUGCACCAAAGUUACAUGAAUUAGCCAUGAUUAUUAAGUUUUUAUCUAAAAGUUACAUGAAUUAGCCAUGAUUAUUAAGUUUUUAUCUAAAAGUUACAUGAAUUAGCCAUGAUUAUUAAGCUUUUAUCUAAAAGUUACAUGAAUUAGCCAUGAUUAUUAAGCUUUUAUCUAAAAGUUACAUGAAUUAGCCAGGAUUAUAAGUUUUUAUCUAAAAAUGAGUUAAUUCGUCAAUUACAUAUACAAACAACGUUUAGGCAGAUUUCGUUGCUUCAAUAAUUAAAACGUUUAAAUUCUAUUUCGUUGCUUCAAUAAUUUAAAACGUUUAUUCUCUUUAGUAACUUUAGUUGUGAUGCAUCGAACUUUGUUUGUAUAAUAAAGUUGCAUAUGCUUGUUGACACAAUAUUCUCAGUUUUCUAGCAUUGAUAAGCAUUUGUAGACGAUCAAAGAACCAUGUAGGAUACAAAUUAGUUGUCAAUAAUCUAAAAUACAAGUUAUAAUGACUUUGUACCUUACAAUCUUACACCACUUAUACAUUACAAUUCUGUUGGUCCAAACCACCUAAGAAAGAAAAAAAGAAAAGAUGAAGAUCGUUAUACCAAACAAAAAAAAACCCGCCAAUUUUCUAAAUUAACCCUUUUUAUUAGUAAAGUUUUCUAAAAAUCAACUUUUUUUUUGUCAACAACUAAAACCAAUCUUAGUCAAAUUUUUGAGUUAUCCAAAAGAAGUCGACAUUUUCGUUAGUUCCAAAAUAGCUCAAACUUUAGAGUUAUCUAAUUUUUUUGAUGAUACUACGUAACAAGUUUAACAUUCAAAAAUUACUCUAAUCGAAACAAACUUGAAAGAAAAAAACUGCUGUGGAAAUAAAUAAUACGCGUUAUCUUGAAAAAAAUAGGAAAACUAAACGCGCGAUUUGGUCAAUGUGGUCGUGGAUGGGUCACCUAAUCUUUUUAAUUUCCCUCUAAAAAAAGAAGAAAUAAAUUUUCUCCCAAUUUCCUCGAAGAAGAACAUUAGAAAAUAAAAUGUCAGGAACUGAAAAAAACUACGAAACCAAUCAGAUUCGGCCAUUUCUUUCCCUCUUUUCUUUUUUCUCCCAAUCACUCUUCAGAUUCCGAAAAAAAAAGCAAACAAAGAAAGAAAAAAUAGAUUCUUUAUCACCGGAGUUUUCACCGGACUCUUAAAAGAUGAAUACGCCGAACUGGGAACUCCGGAGUUGCUGUAACCGAAACCAGAACACGUUCCUCAUCACCAUCGGAAUCUUCACCGUCGUUAUCCUUGUGGUUAGUUUUUCCCAUCUAAUGUCCUUGAGAGAAAGAGUUUAAAGUUUUGACCUUUACUUGUUUUCUUCGAUUCAAAUUGAAGAUCCGACAAAUUUUUUUGUAAAAGUUAGUUUAAAGGGUAUCUCGAUUGUAGUGUUUUAUGCAACUGUUGACUUAUAAUUUCAUUCAAAGUUUGUGACUUUUGGCAUCAUAAAGUUUCUAUAUUUGUUCUUGUUUCUUAAGAUCUUCACAGAGAUUUCUUGGUUUUGUUUUUAACAGCUAUGGAGGACAUUUCUAUUGACUCCAUUUAAACUAAUCACGGUGUUUUUGCACGAAGCGAGUCAUGCUGUUGCUUGCAAGCUCACAUGUGGAGAUGUAAGGAAGCUCUCUCACUUCAACUACUACUUCAAUGAAACUAAAAAAGGUUACAAAACUGAUUUUAGGUGUAAACCCUUAAUUCAGUUUGUAAACUUGAAUUGUCCUUUUGAUUUGUUAAAUUAUACUGGUUGAUUUGUGAUCCACUUUGCGAGCAUAACAUCUCUUUAGAUAUGCACAUUUACCAGUCGAAAGGUUUGCUUUAGCAUUGAUGUCUCUGCAUUUUCUCUGGACAUGACUGUUUAGCAUAGAGUGGAUUUUAGCAUCUUGAUUCAGUUUGCAAACAUAAACCGUCUGCUUCGAUAUGGAAAAAUACACUUGGAACUCAGACUAAUUUUAGGUUCCUUGAAAGUUUAAAUGCGGUCGGGGUUCGCUUUGAAUAGGCAGAGAAGAUGUUUUUGUUAUCAUCCACUACUCGCAUGGCUUUCUUUAGCAACAAUACCUUGUGUAGAUUGCUUUAGCAAUGUUUGUCUUUGGAUAUGGCUGUUUAGCACGAUCGUAAAGUUGGCAUCUUGAUGUCGAGUUACGAUAUCCUUAUUUAUUGUGCCAUUCGCUAUAUUCCUCAUUUGGUAAACAUUGUUUUAUCCUCACUUGUAUAUGAUUCUCGCUCUAUUGCUAAUAUGUAAACUACUAAUAUACGAAUAUACGUCAUUAGUCUAAGAAGCCAAGACACACAGUUAGCUCAAACCUUAGCUUUAGGUCGACCGUAGCGUAGGACUAAAUGUUAACAGAUUAUAGCUGGCUGCUGGUCUGAGUUUGUGAGAAAGCAGUUAGUGAAAGCGAAAUCUGUAAAGAUGUCUCUGCAGAUUGUUAAGGCUGUAGAAUUUAUAGAAUUUGAUUGGGAUUCCGGAUGAAAGCCUUUUCAUUAAUAAGUUUCUCUAGUUGGUGAGUGUUAUAAGAAUAGCAGUGUACAGCUUAGCUCUUAUCAUAGUUCCAAUAAUGCAGAAAAGAUAGUAGAUAAGUUACACCGCUCAGCCCAAAAAAAAUCUUUGAUUAUGUAUUGAUUGCACAUUAUUUUCAUCAAAUGCGUGCAACAUUCUCUAUGUUAAUCUGCAACUUCAUUUUUUCAGUUUGCACUUUGCACAGUCGCAUAUAAUAUGGAUAUUGUGUGCCUAAAAACAAAUGUGGCUAAUUUUUGUUUGAACUUAAUCUUCUUCGUAUUGAAUCAAAAAGGUGGAGGGGAUGGAGGUGAAUGCAAAUGAAGGAGGUUCCACAACAACACGUGGCGGCAUCUAUUGGCUGAUCUUACCUGCUGGCUGUAAUAUACAAUCUGUCUAUCUCCCUUAAACAAAUCAACCAUUUUCAAAUUUGGACCUUCCAUUGUUGAUGGCUAAAAGUGUUACAUAUAUAUUUGUUGUAAUGGUUAUAGAUCUUGGCUCAUCAUUUUGGGGAAUGGCUUUGAUUCUUGCAUCUACUAAUCUGCUUACAGCAAGAAUAGCUGCUGCUGGUCUCGGUCUUGCUUUAUUCAUCGUCCUCUUCAUUGCCAAAAACGUAAGUAGAAUUCAUUUUUAUCUCAUUGAGGCAUUGACAUCAAACCAAUGACAUCCAAAUUUUCAACCUUGACAGUGGACGCUUCGAGGUCUUUGUAUAGGUGUGCUAUCUCACGGUUCUUCUUGUUAAAUUUUUCAUUUUUUAGUUCUCAAAAUGAUAGUUGACAAAAAGAUUCUAACAAUCAGUGAAAAAGUCUCUCAGGUUUCAUAGUUUUCCUCGCUAUCAUAUGGGUUCUACAAGAGUUAACUACAGUAAAAAUUCUCCGUUAUGUCAUUCUGUUCAUCGGUAAAUGAACCUCAUUUUGUUCAGUCUUGUUAACAUGUUUGAGUUUCAUCUUCUCCGUAUGAAAGCCAGAUUCUUGAUAUUGCAGGUGUGAUGAAUAGCUUAUUCUCAGUUUACGGUAUGUGUUUCCUUUUCUCUCCCAAUAACUUCACUUAAAGUUAUGAACUUAUGAACAAGAAAGAAGCCUCAUUUGGUUUUGUUCUGCAAUGGCUAUUAGAUAUCUACGAUGAUCUGAUAUCGCGAAGAGUCCAUUCAAGUGAUGCUGAGAAGUUUGCAGAGAUCUGUCCUUGCUGUACUGGUUGUGGCUGGGGUGUCAUAUGGUGAGACUUUAAUCCAAUUUUACACACAAAAAACAACAAAUCUUUGUUUUUUCUUUGUUUCUGACCAAAAAUGGUUUUGAUUUUUCAGGGGAAUGAUAUCUUUUGCGUUUCUUUGCGCAUCAUUGUAUCUUGGGCUAGUGAUCCUAUCAUAAAAAGGUGUUCUUUUGGUUUUGGCUUUCUUGUUUUUUGUUAAGCACAUUUUUGCUUUUGAAUUUUGAUUAAGCGUUUUCAUGAUUUUUGUGAAUUUUUGGUGUCUCUCAGGUUUCAAAUUCUUUCCAGUGAACUGCGGAGUCUCCUUUCUUUCAUCUAUGCGCAGUUUUUUAACAGAAAACAUUUUUUUGAUUAAAAAGCUUGAUUCUUUAGAUCCCUUUGAUGUAUUUACAUUUGAUUGAAAGUUUAGGGUUUAUCAUUUUUUUUUUAUUCAUUUUGGAGUUUGUGUUGAAUAGAAUUCAUUGAUUGUUCUGUUUUAAUGCAUUGUAAGUCCGUUGAUCUUGUCAUCAAAACAAAACUCCGUCGACUUAUUCCUGUAAAUGGUCAUAGUAUCCUCGAUUAGACUUCGUCCUUUCUUCCAAAUUGAUACUUAAACACCAAAAUCUAUUAUAUAAAGACUCAGCUGAGUCUCACAAACUUGACACAUCAGCUUUCGAAAAAAAUAAUUUUCUCAAUUCCAAAAAAAUCUAAUUUAUCAGCCAUGACACAAGUACAAAUCUAGUUUCUAUCUAGAAAAGUCAUUCUCUUACAAUAAAAAGGAAAUGCAUUGAAUUUAUAGUGUUAUUACUUUGUAAACGACACCCGAGAAAAUUGAACGAGGCUAAAAUAAAUUCAUUUUUAUAAAAUGGAGCGGCAUUCCACCUAUUUUUCAUUUUUCUCUUACGCGCUUAAAAAGCUCCAGAAAUCAGGUAUAGCGCAACUGCAGUCACGUUCAUAACCAACAUUAGAAAAGAAUUAAGGUCUUGAAAUAACAUAUCCAAAAUGCAUAUUUCUUGUGUUAAUUUUGUUUUAGUGAUUGUGGUUUUUAGUGUUUCAGAUCAGAAAGGCGAUCAAAUACAUGGAUAUAAUCACUCUACUCUACGUGUCUACGAGGAGGAAAUGAUAACCAAUCCUUCUCUCAUAGAAAGAGAGCUAGGAUCAAGCUGUAUGUAGUGUAAUUACACACUAUAUAUAUAUAUAUAUAUAUUCAUUCCUAUUUUAUGUAUAUAUAUAAGAAAAACUUUAUGUGCCAUUAAAAAAAUUAUUUCUUGUUUCCAUAUUAAUUUAGAGUUUUAUAUGAUGUUUUUUGUUGUUCGCAAAACAUUGAAAAAACCAUAAAUAGUUUGUUUAUUGCAUGCAUGAAAAAUUAUGAUAUCUUUGUAUGCGUAAUGCUCUGGUGCCUAACAAUAUUAUUAGGUUUAGAGCAGAUGAUAUAACAAACGAAGUUGAAGUUUUAGAGGCAUUUUGUCUUCUGUUCAAUUUCUGUUUAUAGUUUUCGUACAUCUUAUAUAUAUACAUAAAACUGACAUAUAGUGAAUGCUUAACUCAAUCUAAAAUCAGUUAUAAAAUUUUCUUACGUAGCGCCUUAUUUCUCUGUCACAUAGACAAAAUUCUUUGUGUAUCAGGAGAAUGUAAUGCCCAAAUUUUAUCAUAUUUACUUUAUUGACGUCCGAACUUUAUAUUUUUAUAACAAAAAAUGAAUAUUUAGAAAGAAAUUAUUGUUUUUAAUAUUUAUUACCCUAAGCAGAACUCAAAGGAUUUGAGAUGAGAUUUAAAGCUAAGCUGAAACAAACAAACGCAAUAUUUUGUAUUUUAUUGUGUGUCUUUGAGUGUACGUAUUUUGUUAAUUUUAUUUCAUUAGUAAAAAAAACAGAAAAUAUAUAAUAAACAGACAGAUAUAUGUCUUAUUUUAAAGAGAUAACAAUAGAAAGUGAUUUGCGAUUACGUAAUUCUAUCAUGAUCUAGAAAAUUUAAAUUCGCACAUAUAUAUGUAUAUAUAUUAUUGAUCAACUUAACUAUUAUAUAUAUAUAAAUUACCGCGUGUACACGCGAAGUUUUAUCUAGUUAUUGUAAUAGUUGUGUACAAAAUAUCAUGGUGUAGAAAAUAAUUGUUGUAGUUAAAAAUUCAAUAAAAAAAAUAAUCAAAUUCUAUUAUAUGGAGGAAAAAUUUCAUAUUUUGUACUCUUAUUAAAUUUCAUAAUAUUUAAAAGUAAAUUUCCAUUUUUCUUCAAAAUUACAGCGAAUAAAUCCUAACUUUUUUUGUUUGAUAGAUAAGCAAUCUUUUUUGUCUGAUGGUAUAAAGAGGUAUAUCGUUUGGAAUCUUCCGAGGUUCAUCUUGCAUUAUCUUGGUUCAUCUUCCAAUAUAUCUAUUGGUUUGUAGAUUAGGUUGAAGAAAAUGAGAAAAAUUUGUAGUAAAACCUUUCUUUGAAUAUUUCUGUUAUAACGAAUGCGAAAAAAUGAAGUUAUAAACAUAAGGAACACAACACAGAUUUAACGUGGUUUACCAACGAUGUGUUGGUUACUUCCACGAACAAAAAAACCUAUUUAUUAAGGGAGGCAAAAGGUUCAGAAAACUCUGAUGAAGGUUCUGAAUCAUAAUCGGAAUACAUCAGAAUCGGAAUACAUCAGAAUUAGGUAUCACAUAGGUAUUAUAACUACCUAGUUAACCCUAAUCAUUUUUGGACCUGUCGUUCACGCCUAUGUAACGUCCUUAAGCUGAUAGCUUCGACCCAUUACUCAAACCGACAAUCUGCAGUAAGCUUCGUAGCUUACACCUCAUCUGAAAACAACUCCGCAGCUUACACAAUCUGUAACCAACAUCUUCUACAGUUUGCUAUGUAGCUUGCACCUUCCAGAGGUCACACUUUCCGCAAGUCGCACCUUAUGGAAGUCGCACCUUACGCAAGUCGCACCUUACGCAAGUCGCACCUUACGCAAGUCGUACCUUCUGCAGGUACCUUCUGCAAGUUGCACAAUCUACAUUAUGCUCUGUAGGUCCGCACCUUCUGCAACUUGCACCUCUCACAGUCUCAGAUUUAAGGCACAUUAACAAAUCUCCACCUUGUCUUGAAUCGUCCAAACAGAUGUACCAGAUGCACUUUUACAGUGCCAGAUGUACCGAAUUUUUCAUUUGCCUCACACGUUUGAUAACACCUAAUUUUGACAUAUUUUCACCAUUGAUUUCAAAUGCUUUUUCAAAGGUUUUAAUCAGUUUUAGGAAUUUUUAUUAUGAUUUCCAUGUAUUUAUAGUUUCAAGACUUUUUUCAGGAAACUUAGGGAAAAUGAUGGCAAAAUGGAAGAAAUCCACUUUUUAAAGCUCAGAGUCAGACCGUCAGAAGUUCAGCCUCAAAUGAAGACUUUUUCAACGUCUGAUCUAGUUCAAAUUUGGAGACAAUCAAGAGGAGACAACCAGAUUUCCAUAGCACUUUACAUCACAAAGAUUCAAUUGUGCAAUCAAAAGAUACAUGGAGAACAAGCUGACCCAGUUUACCAGUCCUGGAAGACUCUCACCCGCGGCAAAAUCAUGUUUUACCUGCCCUGGAAGACUCUCACCCCCGGUGUACCUUAGGACGAGCCACAAGGCCCAACAUCAAAGCCCACUUCGCCAUUCCUCUUUAGAGAAGCCCUAAAUGAGACCUGGAAAAACUUAGGACCUAUAAAUACAUUGUUUAGCGGCUCCAAACAGGUGUGUGCUCCUGUAAUGAGAUUUUGAGCCACCAAAAUCUGUUUCUCUAGGGUUAGGCGAUGGAGAUGGGGAUUCUUCCCCAGAUCCAUUGUUCUUUCUCCUUUCAAUUCUACUAACUUUUCUGUUUCACUCUUUUGCAUUUUUCUAUGUCUUUUAUUAUUCCUUGCAUCAUGUAGAUCUGUCCCAGAGAGUCAAGUUGUUUUAAGAGUCAUCGAUGAUCAUAUAUAUCGAUUAGGAUUUCUAUAGUUCUAAACCAUAUUCUGGAUCUCAUCUCUUCUAAGUUGUUCAUAUUGCAUGAGAGUAGAUUCAUGACCUAUUUUCUGAGCCUAGGAUCGAUCAGAGCCAUGAGAGUGUUGUAUCAGAUCAUCCAUACCUAGCUUCAGAAGAACAUAGUCGCUAUAGGAGUCGAAAGCUACCCAUAGAGAAGAUGUGAGCAGACGAAUUCAAUGUCUAAUGCAUGAUCUUAUUUCUGUCAUGAGAGCGAGAGUUAAUUGUCAUAUCUAAGUGAUUAGUUGAUUAAGAUGACGAGAAUUAGUUAAUCAUACAUAUGUCUAUUGUAGUUCCAUGCAGAUUCCUAGAAACAGAUGAAGAUAAAUCGCCCGGAAGCUAAUUGUAAAUGCCACCAUACAUCGAUUAUAGUAAAUCGGAGAAGUCUAAAUUGCACCCUAUGAGUUUAAGAGUAUUUAGUUUGAGUCGAUAUGCUUGAGAUAUGCUUGAGAUAUUCUUUUAACAAUUCAUCAUGCAUUGCAUUUUAUCUCUUGUGAAUAUUAGAUUAGGUUUAGUUUAGGACUUUUAACUAAAAACCCCAAAACGUUUAUUGGUUUAUGAUUUUGCUUACUUCCCAGUUUGUUGUUUCUUGCAGAUUAGACAUUCUCCCUAUGGAUCGACACCCUAAGUUCUACAAUCUGUGCACUUUCAGAUUUUAGGGUUUUAUAAAUUUAAAACUUUCUUUAUGGACCAAUGAGCUUGUAUGAAAAACAACCCUAGGCCCGUAGCUCAUCAAAGUUUUUGGCGGCGUUGCCAGGGAGGUUCUUAGUCGCUGGAGGUCUAAACCUAGGAGGUUGAAGCCACAAAAGACAAUAUAUAUGUCGAGUUUCUGCCAAAAAAUCAUAGGAAGUAAACCAAACUCAUAAACACCCUAACUUUUUUUUUUUCUGCUUAUUCUCUCUUCUGUUUGCCCUAGUUUCAGAAAUCUUUGAAGCAUGGAUCAUCCAAGAAGAAAUCCUAACCCUGAUCGAAGGUUUUGCAACUUGUGUGAAGCUCCCUACGCAUGUGAAUCACCUUCCAGGCGUGAUUCCAAUCAUCCAGUUCGGCCAGAUCAUCCGAACCACCACCAUGGAAACUCGCGACCUCUACACCAUCGAGAUGAGCCCUUCACCUGGUGAAUCGUCGACCAUCUCAUCCUCUUUCUCAUCAGAUUAUGCACCAGAACUAUGAGGAUAAUCUGUUUAAAAUCCUGCUAAAUCGAUUGGAAGCCAAGCUGAAUCAGUUCCUUGCCUCCCAAGCCAUCAUCGAUGCUGCCCUGCGAACAAGGAUAGAUGACAUGACCGUCGACCUUAACAAAAGGUUUGAUGACCUCUCUGAGCAUGUGAAGAUACUGGAGAUCAGAUAAUCAAAGAUAAUGACGUGUCGAACCAGAGAAUGGAGUCUGUCGAAGAAGAGCAGGACAAAAACAAGUUCAACAUUCGACAAAAUGAAAGGGAGCUGCAAACCCUAACUUUCAAGAUCGAUGACUUGGAUAAGGAACUGAAUGAGAGCAAAAACCAGACCUACGACUACACAUUGGAGCUGUGGCAGGGCGUAGCUAAGGUUGAAAACAAGACAGAAGAGCUUGAUGCUACUCUAGACAAAGUUGUCUAUGCUGUAGAUGAAGUAGAAGAGAAAGUUGAAAAACUUUCUAAAGAUCAUAAGGAGUAUGAUCUGAACUCUAGAAUCAAUGAUUUGGAUACCCAAGACGUGCCUAACAACCACUGGAAGCAAGAGAACAAUAAUGGAGAAGAAGAGAUUUAAGAAGAAAGCAUAGAGAGCCGGAGGAAGCUGACCGCGGCUGCGAGUACUUCACCCGCGGCCAGAGCCACUUCCACCGCGACUCCAAGCUCCUCACCCGCGGUAGAGCAUGAUUUCUCAGAUUAGGAGAACUUCCAACCUCUUUCUGAAACCUGUUCAACUGCAGACCAACCCCUUGUGACCAGAUCUAGGUUGUUUGAUCAAGUUGUCUUCUCAAUCACUGCACAAGCAUCAAAAGAAAAGGAAGAAUCCAACACUUAUGAAUCUUGCAACAUAGUUUACACUUGUGACAAUGAGCUUCAAGAGCAAUUCUCAGAAGAUGAAGAGUAUGGUUUGUUUGUUGAAGAUCCAAACUAUGGGGACAAUUCAUCUAAUGACAACUCAGAACCAAUUACCAAGAGCAUAUCCAGAGAGAGACUGAUUGAAUUCAACAAUUUUGUGAAGUCCAUUCCUCUCUACCAUGGUUUCGACGACAUCUGGAAGCAAGGCUGCCUUCAAGUUUUUUUUUCAGAUAUAGCAAGAAGACUAAGGAGAACGUCUACACUUAUUUCAGAAGAGCCAGGUAUCUAUCUUUUCCUAGAUCAUCACCUGAUGCAGCUGUUUACAUGAUCCAUCUCAAAGAUCCCCACGAAGCCAUUGACUACACAAACAAGAUCAACAAAGAAGCACUUGAAGAGUCAAUCAAGUAGUUCAAAGCCUCCUAGAAGGAAUUUCAUUUGCCAAAGCAUGUAGAGACUACAUGAUCGGCCACUUCUUCUAUGACAGCAAAGAUUCUAUUCAAGAGAUGAAAGACUUGUUCACACACGCCCAAGAAGGUAGACCAUUUCGAAAUCUGCACAAAGUUCAAGACAAAGGUCAAUUUCUUAUAUCUUGUGAUAUUAGAGGUGAAAGAUUUCUCAAUAUUCUUUGUGAUUCUGGAGCUUGCAUUAACAUGAUGUCCAAAGCAACUGCUUUGAGACUUGGCAUUAAGCACAUUUCAAAUACCAUGACAAAGAUUAGCUUAGCAGAUGGUUCAAGUGCAACACCAAGAGGGAUAUCCCGAGAUAUUCCUCUAAGGAUUGGAGAUUGCAUUGCACCUGUCGAUCUAUACAUAGUGAAGACCAAAGAUGACUCUUAUCCACUUAUCCUUGGAUGGUCUUUCUUAGCAACUGCUGGAGCCAUCAUGGAUUGGCCCAACAGGAGAUUUUAUUUUGCAAAUAUCGACAAGGAUAUCUUCUAUCAAGCUACACCACUUAAGAGCAAAGGAGAAAAGCAGAAAGCCUAGGCCUUUGAACCAGAAGAAAUCUGGAGUGAUGAAGAACCUGCAAGACAGAAGAGAAGGAUUUCGAAAAGGACUUGUCUUAGGACAAGAUCCUAUUUGAGCUAAGUCUUUUUCUUUUGCAAGUGUAGCUAAGGACUAUAAACCAAAGCGCUUGAUGGGAGGCAACCCAUUUAGCUACUUAUUUGCUUCUGUUUAUCUUUCUUUUUCUAUUAAAGUUUUGGUUUUUUUAUUUUAGACAGGCCUUAGUAUGCCACAAAAAAAGGAAGAAAAAGAAGAAAGAGAGCUGACCGCAGCCAAAGGAGGUUCAACCGCAGCCAGCAAGCAUUUUGCCGUGGCCACGAAGCUUUGAACCGCGGCCAGCACCACUCGGCCACCCUUGGCCAUUUCCACCUCUACCUUGAUUCAAAUCCAUCCAAGUUGGAUCAAGCACCACUUCACAUCAUCCACCAUCCACCAUUCAAUAUCCUACCACCUCCACAACCACCUCAUAAUCCAUCACCACACCAGGUAAGUUUUCUUUUCCUUAAUCUUUUUAAAUUUUUUCACAUACUCUAUUUCUCAUCCUUGCCUGAUUUAUUUCAUACUGGGGACAGUGUGAUUUAAGUAUGGGGGAGGAUUUCAUCCCUUUCUAACCACUUUUUCUUGCAUGAGCCUUUGCAUUCUGCAUUUUUCUUUAAAAUUUUUCAAUUUUUUUUUCGAUUUUUCACAAAACUUUUCAAAAUUCUUUUGAGUUUCAAAAAGUGUUUUCAAAGGUCAAAUACAUUUUAAGGGAAUAAUGACAAAAUCGAUGAUGAUAACCAACCUGUUUGCUUCUACACCAAUGAUUCAUAAAAAGCUCUUUCAAGGUUUAGUAUUAGACUUGGCGGUAGCUGGAGUACUUACACUACGAAAUCCUACCAGAAGACUUCUAUUCAUGAAGAUAUUUUCUAACAGGAUAUUCUAGCUCAUCUUACUUGGACUUAAUCUUGACAUCUAAUUUUCUCAUCAAUGGUUUUAAGAAGGCAUCAUGAUAUACAUCUAGGACAUCUUUAUCUUAUUGUUACCACUCUUUGUUGUCCUAGAUGGCCAGUUCAUCUUUAGCUGGUACCUCACCUUUAACCCAAACCUUUAUGUUCUAACCUCAUGCAUUCUCUCUUAAGUAUAUAUUGACAGAUAUGUGCAAAAACGCCGUAGAGGGAGGAACAACAUAGUUUUCAGUCAUUCAUGAGAAAAACUGAAAAAGACCAGAAGGGAGUGUGCCAGAAAUCUUAUGAUUCCUCAGAAAAGCUCAUUCUUAUAAGUAAAUUUCAUGCUUUUUAAGAUUAAGUCAAAAGGCAGUUUCCCCUUUCCCAAAAAAAAAACAAAAAAAAAAAGAAGGAAAGGAAAGAAAACCAAAAGCCUAAAGAGUCUUAGAAGCCGAAAUCAUUUGAGCCAAGGCAAUAGGUAUCCACCUAAGGAGUUAUGGAUUCACAACCUAGACAAAAAAUCCAAGUCUGGGGGAACUAUAAGGAGAACCUGAAGAAAGGAGAUCAGAAAUCUUAAAGCAAAGAGAAUGUGACUGAAACAGUGGGGGCAUUUACAGUUCCAUCCUCUCUUGCUGUUUUGCAUAAUGUCUUGUCUCUCCAGAAAAAGGUAACCCUAAACACAUCAAACCUUACCAUUAAAAAGCCUUUUUGAUACCUAACCUUGAAUGCCUUGUUUGAUAUCCUUUUGAUGAGAAUCACUGAAACCUUUAAUAAAUGUUAAGAGCUAGGUGACUGGAAGUUAGUUCUAAGUGUGUGGAUUUUUGCAUGACGGAUUAACAGACUAGUUAUGUUUGUAUUUUGGUGAGAAUUUUCUAGACUUGAUCUGAUUGACGCAUUGUCCAUAAUUAAGGUCUAGAAGUAUGGUUGCUGAUAUUUUUGAGUUCCCUCUCACUUUUGUUGAAUGAUAUUUUUCCAGAUUUGAUCUUGUUUUGUUUGAGGACAAACAAAGUCUUAAGUCAAGGGGGGGGGGGGUUGAUACCACACCUGAUUUUGACCCAUUUUCACCAUUGAUUUCAAUGCUUUUUCAAAGAUUUUAAUCAUUUUUAGUAAUUUUUAUUAUGAUUUCCAUGUAUCUGUAGUUUAAAGGUUCUUUUCAGGAAACUUACGGAAAAUGAUGGAAAAAUGGAAGAAAUCUACUUUUUUAAGCUCAGAGUCAGACCGUCAGAAGUUCAGCCUCAAAUGAAGACUUUUUCAACGUCUGAUCUAGUUCAAAUUUGGAGACAAUCAAGAGGAGACAACCAGAUUUCCAUAGCACUUUACAUCACAAAGAUUCAAUUGUGCAAUCAAAAGAUACAUGGAGAACAAGCUGACCCAGUUUACCGGUCCUGGAAGACUCUCACCCGCGGCAAAAUCAUGUUUUACCUGCCCUGGAAGACUCUCACCCCCGGUGUACCUUAGGACGAGCCACAAGGCCCAACAUCAAAGCCCACUUCGCCAUUCCUCUUCAGAGAAGCCCUAAAUGAGAUCUGGAAGACCUUAGGACCUAUAAAUACAUUGUUUAGCAGCCCCAAACAAGUGUGUGCUCCUGUAAUGAGAUUUUGAGCCACCAAGCUAUGUGUUAGGCGAUGGAGAUGGGGAUUCUUCCCCAGAUCCAUUGUUCUUUCUCCUUUCUAUUCUACUAACUUUUCUGUUUCAUUCUUUUGCUUUUUUCUAUGUCUUUUAUUAUUCCUUGCAUCAUGUAGAUCUGUCCCAGAUAGUCAAGUUGUUUUAAGAGUCAUCGAUGAGCAUAUAUAUCGAUUAGGAUUUCUAUAGUUCUAAACCAUAUUCUGUAUCUCAUCUCUUCUAAGUUGUUCAUAUUUCAUGAGAGUAGAUUCAUGACCUAUUUUCUGAGCUUAGGAUCGAUCAGAGCCACGAGAGUGUUGUAUCAGAUCAUCCAUACCUAGCUUCAGAAGAACAUAGUCGCUAUAGGAGUCGAAAGCUACCUAUAUAGAAGAUGAGAGCAGACGAAUUCAAUGUCUAAUGCAUGAUCUUAUUUCUGUCAUGAGAGCGAGAGUUAAUUGUCAGAUCUAAGUGAUUAGUUGAUUAAGAUGGCGAGAAUUGGUUAAUCAUACAUAUGUCUAUUCUAGUUUCAUGCAGAUUCCCAGAAAAAGAUGAAGAUAAAUCGCCCGGAAGCUAAUUGGAAAUGCCACCAUACAUCGAUUAGAGUAAACCGGAGAAGUCUAAAUCGCACCCUAUGAGUUUAAGAGUCUUUAGUUUGAGUCGAUAUGCUUGAGAUAUUCUUUUAACAAUUCAUCCUGCAUUGCAUUUUAUCUCUUGUGAAUAUUAAAUUAGGUUUAGUUUAGGACUUUUAACCAAAAACCCCAACACGUUUAUUGGUUUAUGACUUUGCUUACGUUCCAGUUUGUUGUUUCUUGCAGAUUAGACAUCCUCUCUGUGGAUCGACACCCUAAGUUCUACAAUGUACAUCUGUGCACUUUCAGAUUUUAGGGUUUUAUACAUUUAAAUCUUCCUUUAUGGACCAAUGGGCUUGGAUGAAAAACAACCCUAGGCCUGUAGCUCAUCAACGUUCCAAAAUGCACUUUACCGUGCCGGAUGUACCAGACGUCCCUUGUAUCAGAUGUACCUGAUGCACGCUUGCCAGAUGUACCAGAAUUCCCUUCUAUCAGAUGUACUAAACGCACCAAUAUUAUGCCAGAUGUACCAGAUGCACUCUUACUGUGCUAGAUCUACUUGGUGUUAAGUAGAACAGGUGUCUCUACAGACCAGACGUCCCUUUGGACCAGAUGUUCCGUCGGACCAGACUCCACUGCGGACUAGAUGUUAUUUCAGACCAUACGCCUCUUCGGAUCGGACAUUGUUUCGGAAUAGACGUCCUUUCAGACCAGACGCCUUUUACCAGGCUCAUAUACUCCUCCAGAGCCAGAUGCCUUUCACUGGGCUCAGAUGCUCCUUCGAGCCAAACAACCCUCACCGGGUUCAGACGUUCCUUCAAGCCAAACGUCCCUUCGGACCUGUAGUGUAUGAUCCACCAUAUCUUCGAAGCCAUAUAUCUCUGUGGAUCCAACCUCAUUCCUUGUAAGCUGAUCAUGACAUGUACUACGGUGAAUAUUCUCAGAUGGUGUCAGUUCUGACAGAUCAAUUUCUGUCUGUAGCUCUUGAAUCUCUUCGUGUAGCUCAGAAUCAGUCUCGUCACGAUAUAUAUACAAAUCCACCUGCAUCUGUAACUCCACCUGCUUGUCAAAGCUACUGUUCUCUGUAGCAGCUGUGGUUAAAGGUUCAUCUUGGAACCUUCUUUCUGAAUCAACAUUAGAGAACAUGCACUUCGUUCUCCGCAGCAGCAUCUGAUUCAUCUGCUCAGAUACACCAUUCGGUUGUGAUGUAUCCGUAACUGCAUGAUGUUGGACAACUCCUUCAUCCUUGCAUAGCUGAUUGAGCUCUAAUGAACAGAAUUUCUCACCUUCCUCUGACAGAAUUUGCACCUUCUUUUCACCUAUACGACCAAAGCUCUUAUGCCACAGCUUUGUUAUAUCUUUGUGGUGAAUUUCUGAAGAUGCAACAUUCACAGAACCUGUAGCUGUGGAACCUCCACCCAUACCCUUGUGCCCUCCUCUGCUGCAGGUGAAAUCACCUUCAUCAUCCUCAUUUUCAUUCAAUGGAGCCGCAAAUCUCUAUGACAGAUAACAUCUUCAACUUUCUUUUUCAAUUUUAUCGAAAAAUGUGAGAUUAGACGCAUAUAGAAUGGGAACCAUCUCUAUAAAAACAAUAGAUUUUUUUUAUGAAGAGAUAUCUGAUGUCCAAUAUAAUUUGUUGUUAUAAUUUGUAUCUAGUUUUUUUGUUAUCAAAAUGAAUGUUCAGAUGAGAAUAUUGUAAAUUAAUUCUUAUCAUGAUAUUUUGAAUAGCAUAUGAUUUUGAUUAAUAUUAAUUAAAAUCAUUAAAUUGAAACUAUAUAAUAUUGAUAAGAACUUUAAAAUUAAUUAUCUAAUGAUACAUAAUUUUAGUUAAAUUUUAAAAUCACUUAAAAUGCAUAAACUAACAGUACCCAACUCAAUAUAUCUUGGUGAAAAGGUUCUUAUGUAAAAGUCUAAUUAUAUAAAAAUUAUAGUAAGGAAAAAGAAUGUGCGUUCUUUCAAAAAAAAAAAAAAAAAAAAAAAAGAAGAAUGUGCAGUGAGCAAUCAUAUAUUCCCUUUAAAUAGUCUCAGUACUGUCAUUUUGAGUUUACCCUCUGUCUCCCCUAUUUUUUAUAUUUACAGUUUUUUAAUAUUAGGUUUUUACUAAAAUAAAAAUUUCACAUCGUGAUUUAUCAGAUGGAUCCUAUCCAUUUCUCAAUUUAAUAAAUAAUAUUUCUUAAAACUUUUCUUGUCUUACUAUAUUCUCAGCAUUUUGUAACACUAAAUAUUUAAAAUGCAAUAUUUAUAUCUUUUUGGACUUUACAUUGAUAUAUAUAAACUUUCGAAUAUUAUUAUGUUAGAUACACAAUUUCUAACCAGAGAGGAAUUUACAUAGUAAAUAAAAUGAUAUUUAUCAUAUUUUUGUAAUUCUAUUAGAAUUAUCUACAUUUUUAUAUGUGUAAAGCUCAUAUAAUUGGUUUUGCAUUCUUAAUGAAAGUUUGUUAAUAGAACUAAUAUAAUUAUAUCAUGGAAGAAAAACUAAUAGAAUUUAUUUUUAAAAAAUGAUAUCAAUCUAUCAAUUUUAUUGGGCACUAAAACAUUUAGGGUCCUGCCAUUGACCAAUACUGUCUACCUCCCAUAUAUCUACCAUUAAGCCAAUACAAUUAUUUAAACACUUUUGUAGAGAAUUUUUUUCUACAUUUGAUAUUUAUAGAAAGACCUAAAAAGAAAUAAAAUCUAUACUUUAUCAAUAAUAUAAUUCUGAAAGGUCGUUUUGAGAUAUAUGUGAUAUAAUAUUAUAAUAUUUAAUUUAUAUAUGAUAUCUAAACUUUACCAAAUACUAAAGUUUUAUAUUUUGAUUAGUCUACAUUGAGAUUACAUAUUGUUUCAUUAAAAUAUUUUAUUUUUAUUUUAUGCUAAAUUUAUAAUCAAUAUUAGAGCAUUUAUUACUUGGUCAUAGGUUUUACUAGAGUUGAAUUUCAUAAAAUAUUAAAUUUGGUCAAAUUAAAAACAUUUGACUCAUUUAGAAUAUGUAAAGAGUAGCGAGCCAAAAGAAGUUGAACUUCUCAAAUAUAAAUUAAAUUUUCAAGCGCAAAGCUCAUGGUACAAUCAAGAAUCUGAAUAACUUUUGAAUGGCCACAUUAUUGUAUAUGAAUUACAUACAUGUAUAUGUAUGAUAGAAUAUAUAUAUAUAUAUAUGUUUUCUUGGUAGUGAAUGAGAGGAGGAAAAAAAAUAAGAGGAGAAACAAUGAGAAAAAGAAAAGUUCAUAAAAACAAAAAUCACAAAAUCAUAAAGUUUUUUCAUUCUUAUUGUUCUGCUCUUAUAUUUUUUUCCUGUCUCUCAUUCACCACCAAAAAAACACAUAUAUAUAUAUAUAUAUUUAUGUAUUUUUGUGUAGCAUUUGACCAUGCCAAUCCGAAAUGCUAAACAAAAAUAUAAUUUAUUUUUCCAGAUUACAGGCCAAGAGAUAGUAUGGAGAUAUAUAGAAGGCGAUGGUAUGAGGGUUACAAAAAUAUUCAGACUAUUAACUCAGAUUAAAAAUUCUGUGAGAAGAAAAUUCAGAUAUGAUUCCAGAAUUAUUUGUUGAGAAUCAAUCCAAAGUUCCACAUCGGAAGUUUAGACUAAUAUGGUCUAAUAUAUAAGUAAUGUCCAACUCUAAUUAGUAUGAGGUCUUUUGGGAAGGAGCCCAAAAUCAAAUCCGUGUGGGCUUUGUCAGUUGGGCCCAAAGCAAACAAUAUCAUACUAAUUGAAAAAGUUGGACAUGCGUUUUUCAAGCCCAAUAUUAUUCAGGUGAAAAUUUUCAUCACUAUUUUCAGAAUGAUAGGCUAAAGUGUAAGAGACAUUUUAUUAUUAUUGUAUCUCAAAAAACGUGGAAAUGUUACAUAAGCCUUUAACAGUCUUUUUAAAAAAAAAGCUAUAUUCAAGAUAUUUAGUUUUUUUUUUAAAUAAUAUAUAUAUAUAUAUAUAUAUAUAUACACAUAUAUAUGAUAUUUAAACUCUAUAAAUAAGAGUUUGAUAUUUCUAGUCCAGAUAAAGUAACGUUAUAAUGCUGCCCAAAAAAUAAUACUACAAAUAAUUAUUUUCUAUUAAAUUUACAUUAUAGCAUUUUUUUUUAUAACAUCUAUUUUAUUAGAUAGUAAAAAAGUAAUACAUCAUGUUUACAAGCCAUUUUGGCAAAGAUUGAAAAACAUAAUACAUAGCAUGAAAACAACAAUACAUAAAAUUAAAAACACAAAGCACUAAAUCAAAGAAGAUGAGUUUAAACGAUUUUUUUCUUCGAAUUUUUCUCGCUGAAAAAGUGUCCACACCUUCUUUCCUCGUAAUCGCAUUUGAUCUAAAGCGAUUUUUUUUUUUGCUAUGAUCCAUCUUUUCUCCUGUUGUAUGUUAUUGACACAUUUCCAAGUAAGAACUAAAAAUAUUCUAUGAAUAAGAAUCCAAUCUUUUGAUUCUUUCCAUAGAAAAAAUACUUGAAAUUGCCAAUUUUCUACGACUGUACGUAUGUCGCCAUACCACAAGGAGUUUUCAUCUUCCGCUCCAAACCCUUGUCCCCUCCAUGGUGGUUUCCAUGUUUGUUGUUCCCAUAGUAAUGCCAUAUCCGGCUGAAUAGAAUCAUCGAAGAAGAUCAAACAUAAAACCCAAAUUCGCCAAUCAUCGUUUCCAUGACUCCUAACUUCUCCUAUUCCCGGAUCAAAAACCCAAAUUACAUCUCCAAACCAUACAGUGGAGGAUAAUAAAAACUGCUGUGAGUGUUGAUUUAAUCUUGGAUCAAUUUGAGUAAAUUGGUUCAAGAAAGAAUUAAAAUCCCAACCAAAGACUUGACGAAUUAUAGCAUUUAUUAUUUGGUCAUAGGUGUUACUAUAGAUGAAUUUAAUGGAAAUGUUAUUUUUGGUCAAAUCAAAAUUAUUUAAUAUUUAUAAUAUGUAAAAAUUUGAUCCAAAAGAAGUUAAAACAUAAAUAGAAUCUCAAACCACAUGAUACAAACAAGAAUCUGAAAAAAAGUUUGGAAUCUCCAAUAUGAUAUACAUUUGCAUUAUUAAAAAAAAAUGGCACUCAUUGUUCUUCUCUCAAUGCUUUUUUUUGUUUCCUUCUCUCAUUCACCACCACGAAAACACACACACAUAUAUAUAUAUAUAUAUAUAUAAAUAUAUAUAUAUGUCAUGCAUUAUCAUUUAUCAUCUCAUCGAUCUAACUCAUGCACUCAGGAUCAUCAUCAAAAUGAUCUUCUCCCUCCAUAGCCUCUCUUGGAUUUCCGGCUUCCAUAUUCUGUUUUCCGCAGGGCUCCAUCACAUUAUGUUUCUGACUUGUCGACACUAGAUUCAUAGAAAGUGAUUGAUCAUGGUUGGUGUCAGGGGUUGAGUCCAUCAGGGUAUUAAAGGCAGAGUCAUGUCCAAUACACCUCGUCGAAAAAAGAAUAUCUUCCUUAGAAGAGCCAAAAUUUCGAACCAACAGUCAAUAUCCAUCUCAUUGACGUCAAUGUCAAAAUAAAUCAGCUCUUCGAUCGGAACAUCAUUAUCUUCCACAUAAGGAACCAAAGCCAUAUCUUCCAUAUUAGUUUCAAGGGAUUGGGUUUUAUUGGUUUCAAAAGAAGCAUGUCUUCAAGAAGAAGAAAACUUUCUUCAGAAAACAACCAAUCUAUCUGGUCUGUAUUGGUUUCGAAAAUGGUGGUCGUAUUGGUUUGAGAAGAGGUUUCAUAACUUGUUUGACCAGAAGCAAAACCGACAUGGGAAAUGACAUUUUGAGAAAGAACAUGAUUUUCUCCAGAAGAAACCAUACCCAUCUGGUUACUGAUUUCAGAGGGAAUCAUAUUUUCAGAAGCAACAUAGCCUUCUACUGAAGAAAUAUUGGUUUCAGGAACAUUUAUGUUCAUAUCAGUUUGAGGAAGAACAUAAUUUUCUAGGGUAGGAAUCCAAUCCAUCUGGUUCAUAUUGGUUUCAGAUGACUAAUGUUUUCUGUUGAUGGAACACAACCUAUUUGGUUUAUAUUGGUUUCAUGAUCGCGAAUAUUAUCGGUUGAUGGACUCCAACUUAUCUGGUCCAUAUUGGUUUCUAAAGUGUUCAUGGUAAAGUCUAGAUCUGGAAGAAAAUAACUUUCUCCCAUAAUGCACAGAUCAGCUUGAGGAACAUAAGGCUCUGGUAUAUAAAUAAAGUCUAGAUCUAGUUGGUUCCAAUCGAUUUCAAGAACAGAUGAGCUAGGUUGAAAUGGGUUAGGUUCAGACUGAGGAAUACAAAUCCCGGAAGACUCCAUCUGGAAUGCAUCUGUGUUAGAUGCACCAACACUUGAUGACAAACCAUAAAGAACAGGAGGGUUAUCACUACUUAAGCCACUAUGGUUAGAUGCACCAACACUUGAUGACAAACCAGAAAGGACAGGAGGAUUAUCACUUAAGCCACUAUGGUUAGAUUCUCCAACACUUGAUAGCAAACCAGAAAGGACAGGAGGAUUAUCACUACUUAAGAUAAUAUGGUUAACAUCAUGGAUAGAAAAAAUAUGGGAAGGUGGGUUGUUACUUGUGGCUGAAGGAGCGUAAUUGACUUCCAUAGGUGACUUGUUUAAUAGGUUACCAAAAAGUGAGUGUUUACUCAGAUCCAAUUUUCCACCUAGAUGAAACUUGGGCACCAUCUUCGCUUUGCCCUUUUCAGCAGAUUUUUUGAAUGAAUCUGCAUACAAGAAAAACAAAAAACAUUAUUGACACAAAGAUGUUGAAUUGUGAAAAGUAUAUAUAUAGUAAAAGAACAUGACUUGCAUUGGUCGAUGGAUCAGGAGGAUGCUUCCUUCUUUUUCAGAGAAUACCACUUUGUGUUACUUUCAACGAUAUUCUUUGCUAAGUUGGAUGCAUUGAAAGGAUAUUCAUAGUCUGAAGGGUAGUUGAAUGUCUUAUCUGUUGACCUCCAUUCAUUCCUCGACAACGAAUGGUUCAUUAGCUUAACUUGUGCUUUGUAUUUCUGAAACAAUUAAUUAUAGAAUAAAACAGGUUAUCAUAAGGCUAGUAAAAUUAUAUAUUGAAAAAGAGUGUAUAUAAAUGUAUAUAUGAACCUGAAGGUGGCUACCGACUUGGCAAAGAUUCAAGUCUGAGUCAUUCAUAAUGCUCAAUAUGGAUUUAGGACAAGAAUCUGUAGGAUAAAGAACUGUAAUCAAUUGGUAGAAAGAAGAAUUGGUCAAAACAAAAAAAAUCUUACCUUUUGCACCCAAUAUGGAUAUAGCUGUUAAAAAUAUCAUUUGGCGCUCCUGGAGUCAAUACAUUGCAUCGUCUUCCAAUAUUACUCUCCAUAUUUAUUCCUUCCUCUCUCUUGUUCUCAGCCUCAGUGGGAUAAACCGGUUUAGUUUUUCCUUCAUCAAUUGCUUUGCCUUUUCUCUUUUGGUAUGUUUCAGGGGUUGUAAAUGUUUUGACGAAGGGUCGUCUUCCUAACAAAGAUGACUGACUUGUUCUCUGCCUCUUUAUGGUUUCUCUAAGAGAUUCAAUCUGAUUUAGUAUAUUUUUCUCCACAACUUUCUCUUGUUGUUCAGCGAUGUUGAUUUUCUUUAACUCUUGGCUCUUCUUAGGUACCACAUGCUGCCAUAGGUUUUCGAUGUCGUUUUCAGAAAUCGGCUUCGUUAGACAAAAACGUGCACUUUUUGUCAAAAGAUCUGAUGUUUCCUUGGUAUUUAUUUCUGGACUUAUCACUUUAACAUCAAAAAAAUAGAUAAAUUAAUCUGUGGAAGAAAGUAACAAACAGUGUAAAGAGUAAGCGCAAGAAGAAUGUGUAAAUGUUUGCUUACGUAUAAGAGGAAUUUUUUUGUGAAGCAAAGCAGUGAGAAAGGAAUGUGAAUCUAUAUGAGGCAUUUCAAUGUUGGCUAUCACAAGUCCAGUAUCCUUUUGCUUUUCGAUCAUCGAUAAAGCCUCACUUGCCUUGUUCAAGCUCAUCACUAGUACAUCAAUUUAUAUAUUAAAUAUUUACAAAAUCCAAAAAAAAACAUUGUUCAAAACAAUAAUCAAGUUUCUUCCAUUUUAGUUUUAGUUAUAUAAAAAAGUUGAAAAAACAAUAGAUUAACACGCACAUUUUCGAUUAUAUAUGAUGAUUAGCUAACCUAAUACAUAAUAUAUUAUUUAUAUACAUAUUAAUAUUUGAAAGAAAUUUUUUGGGCUAGAACCAGACAUCUAACAAUCUGAUUAUCCGAUUAAAAUAUAGAAUAUAUGUAUUAAAACUCAACAAUUAUACAUCUAGGGUAUUCAAUAAAAAAUUAAUAAAAAAUUAGAGUUCAAAUAUUUUAUUAAAUUCUUUCUUAUCGAUUUUUAUUUAUUUACAAAAAAAUAUUUUAAAAGAGAAAUUUAUAUGCGUAUUAUCAAUUAUAUUUGAUGAUCGACUAAUCUAAUACAUAAUACAUUAUAUAUAUAUAUAUAAAUAUUUGAAAACUUUUUCCAGCUAAUACCAAACAUUCGAAAUCAUGUUAAGAAAUCAUUUCUAAAUAACAUCAGUUAUCAAAAUCUCAUAUAUAUUCCACAAAAUAUAGAUUAUACUAAAAUUUAAUGGUUUUUACAAAAUAGUAUCCAAUAUCUAUGACAUAUUAUUAUCCAAACUAAUAAUCGUAGGUGAUUAGGAUUUUCAACAAAAGGGUUGUAAGAAAAUCAUCUUCAAAACUGAGAUCCAAGACCAAUCAGUAGCCUAUAGCUUUAAUAUUCUGUAAAUUAAAUUAUAAAUUAUAAUUUUCUAUGCGAAUUCACAUUUCUUCAAAUUUGUUCAGAGAUCCUGAUUUAUACAAUGUAGAAAUCUCAAGAUCUAGAGACGUUGAAUUAUAAUCAUCAGGAAAAUAUUCAGCAAAUGCUAAAAUUUACCAUACCAAAUGUAACAAAUUAGAAUAAUACCGUUGAUAUGUAAAUGGAAAAAUGAUCAACAUCAAUAUAAAUGGUAAACAAUUUUUUUUUACCUUUAUACGAAAAUUGCUUAAGCAUUGAAGUGAGAAAUUCAAUUGAUGUAGUGUCAUUAUCGAUUAGCAGAACUGAAAUAUCACCAAUGCGUUCAGGAACUAUGUUUCCAGCCAAAUUUACGGUCAACUUUUCAGUCAUAUUUUCAAAAAUAUAUGAUAUGAAGGUUUGAAAUAAUAACCGAGUUAAGGGGAAAUAAGCUAUUGCAUGGACGUAUAUAAAAGAAAGAAUAGAAAUUGUAGACCCAACAAGGUCAUAAAUUGCAAACAACACCAGAUGAAGAAAACUAUUUUAAUUUCUAUCAAAUAUAUUUCAUUUCAUCAUUGACCCUACCUAUAAUAUAUUUUUUUAACUCUAAAAAUAUACCCAGUCUAAAGUAUAAUCUAUUAGUUUAUAUAAUUCAAAAUCUUAUCAAACACAUGGUAAAUGAUAUUAUAGCAUUGGUAGUGAUAAAUAUAAUUAUUUUGGGAAUAUUAUAGUGUUUCUUGACCGAUAUAAUUUGAGAAUUUACACGAUAGUCAUCGACUUAAAAAUCCAUAUAUAGUUAGUUGUUAUUUCAUUUAUAAAUUUUGACUAGAAAUAUACAAUUAGUUCAUUUUUUAUACAAUGUUUUAGAAAAUGAUUAAUUAAUUAACAAAAAGUAAACAUAGAAAAUUUUUGUAUAUGCAUAAAAGAUUUUUCAUAGAAAAAUUUGGUGGAAUUAUGUUUUCUCUUUUUUCUUAUAAUUAGAUAAUAUUUUUAUUUCAGUCAGGAAAAAAUGUAGCUACAGAUGUGUUUUAGAUUUAUGGAAGCGUAAAAUAUUCUUAAUAUGUAAAGUAAUAUAAGUUCUCUAUAUAUUACACAAAAUAUAAUUCAAAUUUUGUUAAUAGUUUUGAUAUCAAAAGUUAUUCAUGCAUGCGUUUUACAAUUCGAUCCUUACCUUAUUUCGAGUACAAUAGGCAUGUGACUGGUCAAGUUUUUAAACUCUUAAGUAACUUCCAUAAUUACGUAGAAACUCAAAAAAAUUCAAGAAUAGAAUAAGGUUCAUCUUUUUAUAAAUGUUUAAUUUGAAACGUAUGCUAACACUUUAAAAUAAAGUAUUGAUAAUUAUAUGUUGUGAUGUUGUGUAAUGUAUAACUAAUGCUCGUUUAGUAGUGAACUCGUGAUCAAUGAUGGACUCCAGCUACAAGUUUGUUUUCCUUCCGAUCUGUUCACUACACUACAAGAAAGAAGACCUUUUAUAUUGGAAGAUAUCGACGUAAAAUCGACGUAAUGGGCCAUUUACGUCAAAUUAGUGACGAAUGAAAAAUUAUCGUAAAACAAUCAUCGUAAAAGAGAAAUCGUCGUAAAAUCUUCGUAAAUUACCAACACAAUAAAAUCGUCAGAAACAAUUCGUCGCAAAAACGACGUAAACGUUCCAACGAAAGUACGACGAAUUAAUUUUAACACAACAACGACGUAAAAUCGAUGUAAAAUUACAUCGGAUUUACAACAAUUUCGAGACGAUCUAUUUCGCAAAAGUCAAAUAAAUUUAUUAUAGAUCGACGUAAAAUCGUCGUAAUAUAUCGACGUAAAGUCGACAAAAAGUAUAUGGACGUUUUAAAAUAUUUGCCUUUAAUUAGACGUAAAUUUACGACGAGUUUACGUCGAAUUAGAAAAAUAAUUAUUAAAAUUGGAUUUUAAUUUAAUUAUUGAAUUUUUAAAAUAAUCAAAUAAAGGAAAAUUUAAAUUUAAAUUCGAAAAUAAUUCAUAAAUUAAAAUACAAAAUUAAAUACAAUUUAAAAAAAAUAAAAACUAAUCUACACAGUAAAUUCAUAAUCGUCGAGGUUGAGAUCGACGUCUCGAGGAGGCUCUCCGUCAUGUCCGUCCGUCGCUGUUGUACCAUCGUUUCCCGUCUGCACUACGGGAUCCGAAGUCUGACCCUGCGUCUGCUGGUCAGAAGGUCCACCCGCAAUAAUCCUGUGUGCUCGCCGUUGCCUCUCUCGAAAGUGGAUCGUGAAUAUUUCUAAUCCGUUUUUGAAGUCUUCAGUCAAUGACCCAUCAACAUUUUUGGGCGUAUACAUCCACUUUCGUAGAUCGUAUAUAGACAUUUAAAAACAAAUAAAUGACUUUUUGUUUUUGAAUUUUGAUAUAAAUUUCAACUACUAAAAAUUUUACUCAAACAUUCAAAGACUCAAAAAAUUGUGUCUUUAUAUGUUUUUUUGGUUGAUGGAAUAAUGAGAGAAGAAAUGGUAUAUAUAGAUUUUUUGUUUGGUUACCAACAUAUUGCCAUUGAAUAUUAACAUCAAAUUUACGUCGAAAUAAAAUUUACAUUAUAUUUACAUCGAUAUUACGUCAACUACAAGAUGGAGGCCAAUUCAUCGUAUUAUCGAUGUAAAAUUUACGACAAUGUUACGACGAAAUGUAAUUCGUUCUUUAUUCGUCAUAAUGUUGUCGUAAGUUUAUGACGAUUUUACGAGAAUACUAUUUUAUAUCGAAACGACGAAAUAUUUUGACGUCGUACGUAAUUUCGUCGUAAAUUUACUACGACCAUAAAUCGACGUAAAAAAUUCGUUGGAAAUGUCCCUCUUUCUUGUACUAUACAAGGAUUCAUAAAUAAUGAAGCUGUUUUGUUCGGUGAGUGCAUUAAUGUGAGUUAUACAAAAUUUACAUUGGUUACAAAAUUAGGAGACCAUCUCCAUCGGUUUGUUAGGUAAUUUAGAUAAUAAUAAAAAUUAAGAAAUGAUUAAAAAGUUAACAAUUCGGGUUGUUAGGUUGUUGUGGAAGAACCCAGGAAUAUAUAAAAACGUGGCACCAUGUCAUUGGUGGAAGAUUUUUUAUGUGUGUGGGCUAAAAAUCAGGAAUAAGCCCACAUAAAAAUUCUUAAUUUUUUUAAUUAAAAAUUCAUAAUUAAAAAAAUUUUAAGAAACCCAAUCCCAGGUUUAGGGAUGGAGAUGUUUUGCGUGAGUACAUUUUCUCUUUCUUAUAUAAAGUGGAUCCACCAUAACUCCUAAACUAAAUGAGACACACGAUGAGGCCGCAUACAGUGUGGAGAAGGUACACAAAUUCCGCAUUAUCGUUAUAAAAGCUAUGCGAAGUCUUUAAAAAUUAUCUACCGUUCUAAUAACUAACUAAAGUAAUCACGAGAAAUAGUAGUUGGAUAACAAGAUUUUUUUUGUCUUUCUGCUAAGGGCGAAAAAAGUAAUGUAACCUGAGCUCUUUUGCAUCUCUUCUCCGGCGAUGCCGACAGCGUCGGUCUCAUCCUCUUCUCCUCAUGGGGUAGAAAAAACAACCCAAAAAAUCUCCACCAUCCAAACCCUUGUGCCCUCCUCUGCCGCAGGUGAAAUAACCUUCACCAUCUUUGUUUUCACUCAAUGAAGCCGCAAAUCCCUUUGCUCACUCAGUGGCGGGGGAUCCUUCGUCUCUAGCACAGCAAAUCCUUACUGAUUCUGAUUCUCUAGCCUCGACUGACAGCAACUCUCGCUCAGAUCCAAUUGUGAUAGUUCCUGCAACAGUCCAAGCCCCCAAAUAUCAUUUAUGUAAAAGUUGUUGAGACAACAGAUCCAGAACUGAAGAACUCAUCAGUAGAGGCACCAAUUGUCCCGACAAUCCCUGCCUCUGAAUCUGUUUCCGUGAAAUAGUCUUUGGCUGCAGUUCCGGAAAUCCUAAAAAGUUCAAAACCCACUGUGAGUGAUUUGUGGUCAGGAUUAUUCAAAGGUGCUACGAAGCAACUGCAGAAGAAAGGCACAACUUUUACCUUCCCAUCCGAUGAAGCUUAUGUGAAGAUUCUCAAAUAUGUAAUCGAAAAGAACAAAAAAUCCUGGGAAAGUUUCAUCUGUGGGCAAUUAUACACAGAUACGCCCUCCCAGAAAACUGUUCAUAACAUCGUGAAUGGAAUUUGGAGUAAGCAUUUCUGUGAUAUUACAGUAUCAAAGAUAGAGGGCAAUACCUACCUUUUUCAGGAUACCAAAUCCUUCCACUCGACAAUGGGUUUUAACUCAGAGAUUAUGGCAGAUAGAAGGUAAAACGAUGUUUGUCACGAAUUAGGAGUCUGGCUUUGUUCCAUUGAAGCCCGAGCUCUCGUUGUCCCCUAUUUUGCUGAACUAAGAAAUGUUCCUCUACAGUUCUUCAAUGAAGACGGCUUUGAACACAUUGCGGGAUUUGUUGGAGAGCCAAAAUGUCUCCAGCCUAUAACUGCAAACAAGACAAAUCUGUAAGUAACGAAGGUAUUCACGAUAACUGAUCCUCGUAAACCUCUUUCAGAAGUUGUCAAUAUCCAAUUUGAUUCUGGAGAGAUCAAUAGAGUUUUAGUGUCCAGUCUGUGGAUGCCACCACUGUUUUAGUUCUGUAAGAGGUGAAUCAUCAUCUGAGGCAGUGCAAUGAAGCUCCAAUCUUUUGCAAGAAGUGCAACUCAAAAAUUCACGUGGAAGAGAAUUAUGCAAGAACCGUCCUACCUGAACAAAAUAAUCCAAACUCCCAUAGAAACAGAGCCAAGGGAUUAGCUGGAAAUACUUAGAAGUGGGUUAAAGUUGCUGAGAAAUCAUCUGCCAAAUCUGUCAAGUUUACUGAGUCUUCACUGGGGAAAGAAAACAAAUCUUCAAAGGGAGAGUUCAGUGGCGCUGUGGUCUGGUACAUCUUCAAGGGAAGAUCGACGAAAAUGUUAAAGGUCCUCCUAUCCCUGACACAAAAAAAUCAUCAGGAGUGGAAUCAGAUUCUUCGGACGUUGCUUUUGUGGACUUCAGCAAUGUUGUAAACCUGCAGGGUGAGCAGAGUGAGUUCGCAGAGGUAGUUUCAAAAAAGAAGAAGAAGGAUAAGAGGGACAAGAGCCCCAACAAAAGCAGCUUAAUAAAUGGUUGAAGAAAAACAAACCGUUUUAUGAGAGUAUUAUAGAAACCCAUGUGAAACAGCCUAAAUGUAGGAAUUUCAUUAAUAGAUCGCUUCCCGGCUGGUCUUUUGAACAGAAUUAUGAUUUCUCCAUUUAACAAGUGUAAAGGCUGUUGUGGUGGCUAAGUCUUUGCAGAUGAUCACCUACAAAGUUAUGUUUCCUGAUGUGCAGCAGUGGGUUAUUUUGUCAGUGAUGUAUGUUUCUACAGUUGAGACUCUGAAAAAGGAUCUUUGGGCAGAGCUGAUUGUUUUGUCUUCAAGCCAGACUGUUGAAGAAAAAGAAUGGAUGGUCAUUGAGGAAUUUAAUCAAGUUCUCCAUCUACAUGAGCAUUCAAGAGCUAUUACUCUUAAUGUGGAUAGGAGGACAAGAGAAUUCAGGCAGUGUUUGUUGUCGGCUGAGGUGUCAGAUUUGAACUACUGAGGAAACACAUUUACUUGGUGGAAUAAAUGUAGUGCCAGGCCAACUGUGAAGAAGUUGGACCACAUUCUUGUAAAUGAGGUUUGAUCUACUUUUUUCCCCUCUUCAUAUGCAAUAUGUGGAGAGCAUGGUUUUUCAGACUAUGCUUCUUGUGUUGUCGUCUUGGAGUUGGGUUCUCAAAGGCAGAGGAGACCUUUUAAAUUCUACAAAUUUUGCCUCCAGAACCAAGACUUUUACCCUCUGGUUUGUGAACAUUGGUUCUCAUGUAACAUGGUGGAAUCAGCAAUGUUAUGUCUCUCAAGGAAGCUUAAGCUUCUGAAAAAUGUCAUAUGUAGAUUCAGUAGAGAUAAUUUCUAGGAUUCAGAGAAAAGAGUUAUUGAAGCUCAUGAGAAGCUUUUGCUUUGCCAGUCUUAGACUCUAACUGAUCUGUCUCGAACAAAUGCAAAACUGGCGUUUGAAGCACAAAGAAAGUGGCAGAUCCUGGCAAGUGCUGAAGAGUCCCUUUUCUGCCAGAGAUCAAGUGUAACCUGACUUAAAGAAGGUGAUUGUAACACUUCUUAUUAUCACAGAAUGACUGCAUCUAGGAAAGCCAUAAAUCACAUUCACUUCCUUAUUGCACCAGAUGGAGAACAUUUUGAAUAUCAAACAGGAGUUUAAGAGCAUUGUGUUGAUUAUUUCUCACACUUUAUGGGUUGUGAGGUUGGUCCCCAGAUGCUGAUCUAGUCGGAUAUGGAGCUCCUCCUUCCAUUUUGAUGCUCUCAGGCCCAAAAAGAGAGUAUGAUAAAGAGCUUCUCGAAGGAGGAAAUCAAACACCUGCUUUUCUCAUUGCCAAAAAACAAAACCAGUGGACCUAAUGGGUAUUCCGCUGAGUUUUUCACCUGUUACUGGAGUAUUGUAGGGCUGAGGUAUGUGAGGCAGUUGAAGAAUUCUUCCGAUUUGGAAAGCUGCUUCAGCAAUGGAACACUACAACUUUGAUCCUCAUUCUCAAUAUCACAAACGCCUCUUCAACAUCUGAUUUCAGGCCAAUAUCCUGUCUCAACACUAUUUACAAAGUCAUAUUCAAGUUAUUGGCAACCAGAUUUCAGAAGAUCCUGUCUCAGGUAAUAUAUCCCUCUUAAUAGGUUUUCAUGCCAGGUAGGCUGCUUGCAGAAAACGUUCUACUGGCUACGAAAAUUAUGCAUGGCUAUAACUGGAGGAACAUCGAUUCCAGAGCAAUGCUUAAGGUGGAUCUUAGAAAGGCAUUUGAUUCAGUAAGAUGGGACUUUGUCCUCUUGACCUUAAAAGCGUUGGAGUUAUCAGAAAUAUUUGUUAAAUGUAUCAGUCAGUGCAUCACAACUCCCUCGUUUACAAUUUCAGUUAAUGAUAUCACCAGAUGCUACUUCAAAAGCGCAAAAGGAUUAAGGCAAAAAGACCCUCUCUCUCCUUACCAUUUUUCCUUGCAACGGAGGCCUUCUCAGGAUUUUCCACUCUAGAUUUGAGGCUGGGUAUAUCCAUUACCAUCCCAAGACGGCAGAACGGAACAUAUCUCACCUGAUAUUUGCAGAGGACGUGAUGAUUUUUUUUAUGGUGGGAGUUCAUCGUUACACAGCAUAACUGAAGGAUUAGAAAACUUUGCGUCUUGGUCAGGAUUGCACAUGAACAGAGACAAGACUCAACUAUUUCAGGCAUGAGUAAACCACAUUGAAUCCACUGCAAUGGCAAGCUAUGAAUUCACUGUAGGUUCACUAUCAAUCCAAUACUUGGGUCUUCCCCUUAUGCAUCGUAAACUGAGACUCUCUAAGUAUGACCUCCUUUUGGAGAAGCUUGCUAAUAUAUUCAGAUCUUGGGCUGUUACAACCCUCUCAUUCCCAGGGAGAGCUCAGCUGAUUGCUUCAGUGAUAUUAGGAACCGUCAACUUCUAGAUUUCCACGUUUAUGCUCCCCAAAGGUUGUAUUAAAAAUUGAAUCUCUGUGUGCUAGGUUAUUGUGGUCUGGUAGUAUUGUGACAAGAUGAGGAGUAAAAGUAGCAUGGUUUACUGUGUGUUUGCCUAACUCUGAAGGAGGUCUGGGCCUGAGAAAAUUUUCUGUGUGGAACAAGACGCUAUGUCUGCGGUUCAUUUGGUUACUAUGCUCUGAAAGUGGAUAUCUCUAGGCUGAAUGGCAUAUCAGAGCUUCUGGUUGGUGGAGGCAUAUUCAGCUGAUUCAUGGACGUGGAAAUCUCUAUUGGAUCUUAGACCAUUGGCUGAAAUGCUCUUAGGAAAUCUGUUGGAAAUGGACGAAAAACAAAUUUUUGGUUGGAUUUUUGGACACCUCUUGGUCCACUAAUUAAACUUCUGGGUAAUGAUGGCCCGAGAAAUAUCAGGCUCCGUCUUUCUGCUAUAGUCGCAGAUACAUGCACAAUGGAGACUUGGAGAAUCCCAUCGCCAAGAUCUGUAGCACAGCUGAGUCUCCAUAUGCACCUAACGACUAUCAACUUACCUUCUUCCUCUCAGAUCGAAGAUGACUGUUUUUGGUUGGAAAAUGGUGUUAAGUGCAGCCAGUAUUCCUCCUCUAAGACUUAGGAUGAUCUAAGGCCACAACAAGGUGAAACAGUGGUCUAAGCUUGUAUGCUUUAAAGAUUGUGUUUCGAGGCAGGCUUUCAAUAUAUGGAUUGCACACUUGAAUAGGCUCCCCACUAGAGCCAGAAUAGCUUUUAGAGGAACAAAUAUAUUCACAGAUUGUUGUCUUUGUUCCAGAGACGAGGAAACGAGAGAUCAUUUGUUGUUCAGUUGUGCUUAUAGCUCGGAAAUCGGAAAUCUGGAGGCUGAUACUUACAAGGUUAGACCAUACCCAGAGUCUGUUCAUCUUGUGGUCGGAGUUGUUAUCAUGGAUAAGUAUGCGUUCUGAUGCUGCCCCUUAUACCUGAAAGGUGGUGGCUCAGGCUAUGGUUUACCACAUUUGGAUGUCAAAGAAACAAUUUGCUGCACAACUAAUAAAGGAUUCCUGCAUCCAGCAUUUUCAAGUCCAUUGAUCGUGUGACUCGAAACACCAUUACUACGAGAAGACAAAGACGUUGCUUUAGCAACUUUAAUGUCUCUUUGGCUUCAAUGAAACAAUAUAAAAUCUAAUUUACUGUGUAUUGUUCUCCUUGUUUUUUAUUUCUUUUUUGCCAAGGAAGUUUUGUAACAGGUUAGCAUCUUUUAUAACCUUCUUUUCAUUUUAAUGAUAUUAACAUUCAUAGCAAAAAAAAAAAAAAAAGAAAUGGUACUUGCAAUGUUUUACACCAUGUUUGUGUUUUAAAAAUAUUUCACACUACAUAUUCAAAGUUAUAAUGCAGGAUACAAUUUGUUUCUAGUCGAAAAGGUCAAAAAUAUCCAAAUUUUUUAUGUGGUGUUUUCAAGAAUUAUGCUUUUAAGAGAAUUUAAGAAAAUCGGACUAUUCUAUCGAGAUACUAUAACUUAUUCAACAGAAUAUCUAAAGCAUUUGUUCUGAAAGCAAGAAUUCUAGAUGCUCUUCUCCCCAUUUGUUUUUGGUCGAAUGCCACAAAAGAUGUUGAGAAUUAGGCACAAGAACCGGGUUCAAUAAGUUGACAAAUACCAAACCGAGGACCGACGUGGAAUCGUGGAGAAAAAGUUACAUUACAAUAAAGAUAAAUAAAGAAAAGGGAAGAUGACGUAAAGCUCAGAUUUGGAGCCUAACGAACUCCACGUCACCGCCUAAGUUCAUCCAUUGAAAUUUGACGGCGUCUUCUACUCUUCUAUCAUAACCCUUCGUUCUUUCAUGUGAACCACGUCACCGCCAUUCUCUUUUUUUUUUCUUUCUUAAUACAUUUCUCAAUAUGCGUCCAAUAUCAUAAAUAUAAUAUAUAUAUAUAUAUACAAUUUAACCUAUUAAGGCAUUGCAACUUGUAGUGAACUUUCAAAGGAACUUGCAUCCACAAAUUUAAACAUUUUUGCAUGUUGUAGAAUUGAACACGAAUAAUAAAGUGUGUAUUGAUGAUACACUUGUGUUACUUAUUUGACAAUUUAUUUGGUUUUCUUAGAAAAACUGAAACUGGCUUAUACAGUAUGUUUGUACACAUUUUUUGUAUUCGAAGAAAUUGGGGCAUCAUACAGUGACAUUGCUAUUAAUGUUUCUUCUAUAUCAAACCAAGUGAUAACAAAAUAUAAAAAGUAAUAAUGUUGACUUGUAAAUAAAGUAAGAAAAUUAAAUUCUGUCAUUUCAGAAGAGGAAGUAUGUCACAUGUAUAAUAGAUCAUCGAUACUUUUCAUGAGAACUUCCACAAGAAAGCCAUUGACUUCUUAUACCUUUCUCAAUUUUCCAGCUUGACCCAUUUUUUUCUUUUGAAGUUAUGAGAACUUUAUGUAUAAAAACAUUUUAGACUAGACCUCAAGAAAAUUCAGAUAUUUUUAUAAUUUGUGAAAAAAAUGUUGAAAUAAAUUGAUUGGAUUAUUUCUAUUACUAACGUUAAUCCAGUAUUAUGGUGGUCUAUAUUAUUAUUAUAGCCACCUAUACGGAAUGUUGAUGUGCCAAACAAUGGAGACACACAUUGUGUACUUGGAUUAAUGAAUAAAAUGACAUGUAUCAGUCUAUGGGACACAUAGUAAACUAGAUUAUUUCAUACCUAAAAUGCUAUAAUAUUUGAUUGAUAAAUGAUAAGAACAAAGAAAAGUUCUUGCAAGUUUGAAAAAAAAAAAGAGAAUAUCUUGACUCGUGCGGAUCUCAAACUUUUCUUUUCUAUCCUCUUCUCAAAUUAUAUUCCAAGUAAAACACGCAAUUACCAUAAGAGUUAAACAAUAUAAAAAGAGUUCUCAACUAAAUCUUCCAAAAGAGGCUUUCUCUUAUGGUUCACAUGUAAGUAUAUACUUUAAUUUACAUAAAAUUUAAUUUAACGAAUCCUAAUGAGCCUAUUUUCUGAACACGUACAAAUCAAUUUAAUGCAUAUCUUCACAUUUACACAAGAAUAAAGAAACUACACAUAUUUUUACUCCAUUGCUUCUGAAUUUAUAUAAUUCUUUCCAUUUAAUAUGAUUGAGUUUUUAUCCCUCUAACAAGGAAAAAUAUUAUAUAUAGAUACAAGGAAAGCCCAUUUCAUUAUCUAUCUUCUCUUUGAUUCAGCGAGCGAAAUAAAAACAAAAGGCCAAAAAUGGGUGCAGACGCAAUCCAAACGAACGGUCACGAUCCCGCCAAGUUAACCGCCGCGAGAGGGAUCCAACGGUUGAGAUGCGCCGUGAAGAACUACGAGUGGGGCAAACUCGGACCGGACUCACUUGUUGCGAGGCUCCACGAGGCGAAUUCAGGGGACCGAGUCGACCCGGUGGUUCCUCACGCCGAGUUGUGGAUGGGUACUCACGAGUCGGCACCGAGUUACGUUGUGAAGGAAGAAGAAUUCGGGUCGGGUCGUAAUGGAUCCGAAUGCAUGGUUACAUUGAAAUCAUGGGUUUUGGAUUAUCCGAAUUUACUCGGGUCUAGAGUCGUGGACAAAUGGGGUUGUGAUCUUCCUUUCCUCUUCAAGGUAUUAUAUUUUAAAAGUUUCCAAUUAAAACAUGUAUAUUCAAAACCUUCUUUCAAAAAAAAAAAAAAACAUGUAUAUUCAGAUUCUGUUUAUGGUAAAUCUUUUUGUUUUUCCAGUUUUGUCUCAUACAUAAUUGUUCAGGAACAAAAGUAUUAUUUAUUUGAUCCUAAGAUUCUCAUUUUGAAUAUUUUUGCUCUGUUUUGAGGAUUUUACUUUUUGACUCUGUUUUCUUAUAAAAUUUCUAAUUAAAAGUCAAAACAUAUAUAUAUAUAUAUAUAUAUAUGUAUUUUUUUGUAAUUUCAGAUUCUGUGAAUUGUCAAUUUCUCCACUUUUUAUAUUUACAUAUAUUAUAUAUACAGCCAAUUUGUCUUGUUAGAUACAUAUAUAUUUUGGCUCUGUUUUGAGGAUGAUACAUUUUAACUCUGUUUUCUCAAUUUAUAAAAAUGCAUUUCUUUUUCUCUGUGUGUUUUAAAUUUAAAACAUAAAGGUUUGAUUCUAAUGAAUAAGAGUUUGAUGUUGAAAUGUGCAAAAAAUAAAAACAGGUUUUGUCAGUGACGAAAGCAUUGUCGAUUCAAGCACAUCCAAACAAAGCCUUAGCAGAGAAAUUGCAUAGAGAAGAUCCUCUUCUUUACAGAGAUGCUAACCAUAAGCCUGAGAUUGCUCUCGCCAUUACUCCUUUUCAAGCUCUUUGUGGUUUCGUAUCUCUUAAUGUACUAGAUUCUUCACUUCUCUGCAAACAUCUAAUUUAGUCGGUUUUUGAUUUAGAUAACUUCGGUUAUUUUGCCUAUCACAUAUGCUAAAUCCAAAAUUGAACCGGUUCUGUACCACUUUUGAUAUCAAAUUCAGGAGCUGAAGGAAGCCAUCGCCAAUGUACCAGAAAUCACAGAGCUUGUCGGAAGUAAAGCAGCAGAUCAAAUCUUCAAAGUCAACGAACACGAUGGAGACGAAACAAGUGUUAAAUCCGUUGUCCGUUUGAUUUUCACGCAAUUGAUGUCUGCAAACAUCAAUGAUACAAAGCAAGUCAUAUCACAGAUGAAGAUUCGUCUGAUCUCAGAAACAAACCACCGUGAGUUAUCGGAGAAGGAGAAGUUAGUAUUGGAACUAGAGAAACAGUAUCCAGGUGACGUGGGCGUGAUCUCAGCAUUCUUCUUUAACCACGUCAAGCUUAAUCCCGGAGAGGCUUUGUAUCUUGACGCCAACGAGCCACACGCUUACAUUUCCGGCGACUGUGUUGAGUGUAUGGCGGCUUCAGACAACGUUGUUAGAGCUGGUCUCACUCCGAAACACCGCGAUGUUCAAACUCUGUGUUCUAUGCUGACCUACAAAUUGGUAACUUUCUUUACACGUUAACGUUUUUUUUGGUUUAGUUGGCUAGCAAAAUUUGGAUUGUACCCUAACCCUAACCAAAACCGAAAAUUUAUUUUUCUUUGUUUGGUUAUUGAUUAAUUGUACCGGAUUUGUUUCAGGGCUACCCGGAGAUUUUGAAAGGAUUUCCUCUGACUCCAUACAUUACGAGAUACCUUCCACCAUUUGAUGAGUUUGAAGUGGACCAUUGUGAUCUUCCUAGAGAGAAAUCCACUGUUUUUCCGGCCAUACCAGGGCCAUCGGUUUAUCUGGUUAUUGAAGGAAAAGGGACAUUGAAAACCGGUUCAUCUCAAUUGUUGGUUAAACGAGGAGAUGUUUUGUUUGUUCCGGCACAUAACGAGAUUCACGUAACCGGAGAAAGUGAUGUGAUGAAGCUUUACAGAGCUGGAGUCAGCAGCAGAUUCUUUCAAACAAUGUAGACUAAGUAAAGAUACAUAUAUAUAUAUUUAAUUUGUUAUCUAAAUGUAACCAUAGGGAUCAAGGCAUUGACGUGAUCAUAGUCAAUAUUGGUCCAUGUUCUUUAAUCCUACAAAUGUCCCAUUACGAAUCAAGGGUUCAAGGGGUUGUUUUUCUAUUAACUUUUGUUGUUUCUUCUACACCUUUAAAAUUGAAUUAUAUAUGUAAAAUGAUUAUAAAACAAUGUUUUUUUUUUUACUUUUUGCUAUUGUAGUGUAGUAACUAGUAAUUAUUCUUCCUUUACCUGUUUAAACUUUAAUUUCUAGAACUACUCUGCAAAAGCACAUUUGUUCAGUUGUAAUAUGUAGAGAUCGAACCACAGAGACGAGAAAUUCGCUCAAUAAACCUAAUAGACUCUAAUUGCGCUAAGAAGAAAUAAUGAAAUUGAGAGCAGCAAUGCAAUAAAAAACGGUUUUAAAUUCGAUGGGAAAGAAUUAGGCUCAGGGUGUUUCACAGAAAAUCAGAGAAUGCAGACAAAUCGAUUAGUCAUGAUUCAGAUUUAAGCGCAAUUCUUGAACUCAAAUCACGAAAUUAUAAUUAACUAACUUUUGUUGCGAAAAUUAUUUAAAUCUAAAUCCCAGAAUCCCAAUUUUCUUUGCAAUCCUAAAGAUAUAAAUUAGCCUUAAGUGCAGGUUCGAUAUGUUCACAAAGUGUCUAAACCAAUUUUUUUUGUGGAUAGCUACUUUGCUCAUCCUAGGUUCUUUCGGAUUAUUCAAUUACAGUUUCGUGUCAAUCAAUUAACCUAAGAUCUAAGUUCUAGGUGAUCAGUCCAAAAUUAGCUUUAAGAAUAAUCUAUGGUGAAUUACUAAUCAGAUUAUGACCCCUAACUAAUUAAUUAUCUAAAAUUCAAAGGGAUCCCUUAUGAGAACCCUAAACCUAACAAACAAACUACUCAAAUAUGGAGAUUGAAUCAAUAAACAUGAAUGAAUAGAUUGCAGAAAGCAGUAAAAAGAUUAAUAAACAGAGGUUCAAAAUCUUCUCUCAAACAAACAGAGUCUCAGACUUGUCUCCCUAAAAGCUCUCUCAAGAUCAAUAGAAAUCAAAAGUCUCAAAGAAAAUCUAGAGUGUAGCCAAAACACGUGGCUGAAAACCCUAUCAAAAGCUAAAACACAUGUUGGACUUCCCUGUAAAUAUUGGAGACUUCUGGGCUCAAGAGAUUCUUUAAAACUUAGACAAAAUCACGUUUUUCCUUAUUCACGACAUUGGUGUCGAGCAACACCAAAACAUAUAAAUCAUCUUUCACGAAUUUGAUCCCUGCUUAGUUCCAAAAUGCUCUAAAAUCUCCAAUUAAACUCCAAAUACAUUUAAGACCUGAAAAGACUCCAAAAAAUUAAAAAAACACUAAAGAGACUCUAUAAAUAAAACCUAUCAUGAUCAAAAACCAUAAAAAAAAACCAUGAUAUAUCAUUCUCCAUGAUAAGCAUUUUUCGAAUGGUCUGAGUCGAACAAAACAAUGUUCUCUAAAGUAUAAGGCCAAUUCUUUUUGCCUCCCUCGUCACUUACCUUUUGUUUGUGGCUUCCAUGGCAUAGACUAGAGAGAUGACCCCGAGAAGACCUAAUCUAGCACGCAUUUGUUUGGAUGUUGCUAAUGUUCCGUUUUAAAGUACAUAUGCAAAGAUCGUGGAAAGUAAAACGAACUCAAUCUUAAGUCUUGAGACAAUGAUUUUUGCCAAUUUUCCGGUAAGCUUUCCCGGUGAAAUCUUUCACUGGAAUGACCUGAUUAUGGAUGCGCUGGAAACUUGAGUACUAUAACGUGAUAUACUUAUAUGUCAAAAUCGAAUUUAAACUGAAUGAGAAAUGAGGAUUCUUAGAGAGUAUAGCUUGAAAGCUUAAAAAUAACAUAAGUUACCAAAUGACAAGUGUGAUUUGUCCCACAUUAGCAAUUCAACGUUACAUUUUGAACGUAGUGUUACGUUCUCCCCUUGAUAAUACUCAAUAGAUCUGCUUCUAGCCUGUCCCAACAAUCUGAUUCGGAUUGAGAAUUGCGGUUUUUGCGAACGUUGUUAAAGAUUUCCAAAAAAAAAAAUAUUUCAUUACGGCUUUUCACAUCAAAUCGGAAAAACUCUGCUUAGUUUUAACUUUUUAGGGAAUUUGAUAAAUAUUUGACAAACUUUGUGAAAAUAACUUUUGGAGUAGCAAAAUUCCGCAAAAAAAAAAAAAAAACUCAGAGUAAACUUACUGACAAAAGAAAAAAGUUUCCUCAAGUUGGUUUAGUCGCAUUCCUUUUGUCAAGCACUUAAUCCACUACAAAGACGUUUUGUUGUAAUUUAACCGAACUGAACAAUCAUUCCAAAUCUUAAUAAGCAGCUAAAGAGAGACAUUGAGAGACCAAGAUAAACCGGUUUACUUGCACCUACUUGCUGUUUGUUAAAGCUUUGGUUACAAAAUGUGAAACGAUUCCAACCGGACAGAAGAGAAGGCACAAUGAAACCGAAUGCCUCGUCUCAAUCUUAUUCUCUAGCCCAUCAUUAAAAACUUGCCUGCAGAGAAACACUCAAAACAUGAGUUAUAAGAAACAUGCUAGGAUCAAUCAGAACCUGAAAAGUGCAAUAUAGUACCUUGCAGCGAAAAGAUCUAUAACAAGAAGAUGAAUCCAAGCAGAAGCAAGAGUCAUUUCACUUGAGAACAUUUUCGCUAUUCCAGACAACUGCAAAUGAAAAAAAAAAAAAGAAAUUUUAGAAACUGGAAUGUACACAUUUUCUUGUUUUCGAUAUUUCCUGAUAAUUGGAGGAAAAAGCUAAAACCUCUGGCAACAUGUAUUUACUGGAAAACAUGUAUUUGAGAGUAUCAGGCGUCCAAGAAAGGUAUAACAAAUACGCGUAUAAUACGCCUAAGACGAUAUACGGUAUGCUACUCUCCAUACACUUUUUGGUCUGCACAAGGAGAAAACAUACACUCAAUUCAAUAUGAACUUUUUUGAUUCUGCACAAGAAGUUGUAAAACUGCUAAACAAAAACUCACAAUUUCAGCUUUUGGAGCUACAACCAUUAGAGUGUAAAAGGGUAAAACAGCGGUUGUUCCAACCGCAAAUACACUGCUUGCAAUCUGAGAAGUAGCUAUCCCUGCACAAGAACAUGUUAUGUCUCUGUCCUACUUUCAAUUUAAACAUUGAAGAGCUAUAGAUUCUAGACAUAUAUCAAGCCUCUUUUUGGUUUAUAAUGUUUCAGUUAAGAGACAUUACAUGAAGCUCGUACACCAGAGGAUUUCUUUUGAACAAGAGAGGACGAGUUCGAUGAAACAUUAGGGAAAAGUGCGAUUUUUGAUCCUCCGAUAAAGCUCCAACGAUUCUGAAGUCGAAUACUUGACGAACCAACGCAUAGUUUAGACUUGACAUUGCUGAGAGAAAGACUUGUUAUCGAGCUCUUAGCUGAAAUGUUGCGAUUCAUCAUCUGAAUCACCAAACAAAAUGAAUCAAUCUGAUGAAAUAUAAAAAACUUCUUUAUUUCUUAAAAUUUAGGAAUCUGAGACCAAAAGCACUUUGAUCUGAACAACAACGAAUCAGGAACAGAGUUAGGUUCUGUAACAGGGACCCAUGAGGAGUAAAUUCAACUUCUUUAAUGUCUGCGUCAAUUCGAUCUGAUUCAAAGGAUAAAACUUUAAGGUUACCCAUAAGGAAUCUGAACUAUUCGAAAUUGUAGAAAGCUCGACAUAAGAAUCUAAUCCGACAAUCUCCAACAACUGUACAUACAUACAUACAUACAUACAUACAUGAUACAUACAUACAUACAUACACACACAUAGAUAUAGACAUAUAUCUGCGUAUACCGAAAAUUGGAGAAGAAUUGAAAAAGGAAGAGAAAAGGUAGAUACCGAGAGAGAUGAAGAAGACAAAGGCUGGGAAAUGCAAGAAGAUAAAGCCAUCUGCGAUUCAAAUCUUCAAUAGUCUUUGCCAGAAUUUGGCCAUUCAUUACCUUCUUCAACGAGCUCUCUCCAUAUAUAUAUGUAAAGUAUCAAUUUUUAGAGAGGAGAGUUGAGAGUUUUCCACUGGUUGAAAAGGGUAAGUGGAGAAGAAGCUAAGAGAAAAAGUGCUCACUCACUCUUUCUUCAUCAGUGUGGACAAUUAUAGUUGCUCAUCCACCCGAAUUUUUUAAAAAAGUUUUGGUCUUUUUUAGUUUUCCUCGUUUACUUCUGUUUCGCAUAAACAAAAAAAAAAGAAAAAACCAUUAUGAGUUUGAGUUAAUUUUAAAGAGAAAAUCAAAUUUAAAGAUUCUUUAUAUUGUAUGUUCAAAAUUGCAAUAUAUUAUGGAAAAAAAGAGAAGAUUUUUUCCUAAUUUUAGAUAAAAACCUUUAAUAAAAAUCAAAAAAUUAUUAAGAUAUUAAUUUAACCUUAUAUUUUAGAUAUUGUUCUUUUUCUGGUCAAUAUAAAAAAUUACAGUUUACCAUUCUUAUAUAAAAAAAAAUUAAUUAGACUCAAAUGGAAUGUUUUUAUUUUUUUAACAAGAAUAUAACUUUCAUAGAACCUAAUACCCAAAAAAAAAACAUUUGACCCGACUAAAUUAAAAUUCAAGGAAAGAUUGGAGCUUUGAUCCUUUACUCGAUAAAAAAAAGGUUCUUCAUUGUAUGAUCAAAUGACUUGUCGGAUUGUAUUUGUAGGUGGCUCAUCGUAGGAUUAAUAGCUUCUCGGAUUUUGUUAUCCUUGUCUUGUGUUUUGCUUUUUCCGUGAAGAUCAAAAUUUUCUUCUAUACAUUCCUGCUAUAUAUUCCAUCAUGUUCUACCGGUUACACUUAUAAGCCUAUAAGGAUAUCUAAUCUACUUUUUUAUUUGAUAAAAACCUAAUAUCUUUGUUAAUGGAUAUUUGUGCUUAAACUGAAUUUAGACACAACACAGGUCUAGUUCAGGACAGAACAAGACAAAAGUGACAGUGCUACUUCUACUCAGCAGUGGUUGUGACUUCCUCUAAAGACAAAAGUUGGUGUUUCCACCAUUAUUUCGGUUUUGCUUUUAUUAUAUAUUUUAUUUUAAUUUAUUUUUCGCUACAUGAGAAUUGCAUUAACGAAGGACAUUAUAUAUGAAAACAAAAAAAAACAAUAAAAAGAUAUACAUACAUGUGUCUGACACUCAUUGUUUGUGAAAUCAGUUGGGAGUAAGAUAGCGCUUGAGUGGGCUAUUUGGUAUGAUAGCUUCUCUCUAUUGAUGGGCCUUAUUGACCCACCCCACUUCAGUUUUGUUUAGUCAUUCACAACAAGAAAAACAUGAAAACAAAAGCAACACUUGUCUUUUCUAUCUCUCAAUCUGUAAGUGGUAUAUGCGCAUUUCGUUGAAUUCGAUUGAGACCAAAACUCUUUUAAAACAUAAUGUAUAGUUCUUAGGAUUAUAUGGGGAAAAUAUAUGAUGUCUCAAAGAUUUUUCAUAACAUAUUAUAUUCCUUAUAAUAAAAGGUCACCUGGGGUUUUUCUAUAAACCGGGGUUUUUUUAUAAACCGCCGGCUUUUCUAUAAACCGCCGGCUUUGUCUCUGGAGAUGUUGUAUCAUCUGCCGGCUUUGUGUAAUCCGUUGGCUUUGCUCUGUAACACUAUGGUGAUCAAUAUAAUAAUAUUCAAUGAAAAAAAAAAAAGGUCACCUAAAUAAUUAAAAAUUUGAAUUUUUACGACUCAUAUUUCUAUCCUAUUCCAAAGCUAGGAAAACAACAUAAAGAGUUACAAAUUCUUACUAUAUAGUACUUCCAACAAUAUCUUUAUGUAAAUUUGUGCCAAGUCAUUUUGAGUGGAAAAUGUAGAAUAUAUGAUCCACAAGAUCCUUGAAUAUACUUGGGUAUAUAGAAAUAAAAAUGAAUAUCCGAGACUCUUAUCUACAAGCCUAUCCUUAAGAAGGCACGUCCACGAAUGUUUCUAUCACAGAUUUUCAGUGGGCCAUCAUCUAUUACUUCAAGAUAUUGUUCUAAAAAUGCAUCUCAACCUCAAGCUUACUAAUCAUGUGACAAAAGUGAUAAUGUGAAUCUAGUUUUUCAAAUAAUUUCUUUAUUCAAUGACGACUAAUCAAAGAGUUGGUAUAUUUUUGUAUUCACAGUUCUUCAACUUUGUAUAUUUUCAUAUCUUGAGCCGCAUUGUAAUUUGUUUUUUCUUAUAUGCAAAAUUCAAAAUCAAAGAUUUAUAGAACAUUACAUAUUUAUUUCAUCAGACAUUUGAGAAUCCGAUAGAAAAUGUCUCGCAAACCGGAAAACAAACGUUAAAUCCGGAAAUUAAAACAAAACUAAGGAAACCAAAAAAAAAAAAGCAGAUGAUAAAAUCAAAGGUGAGGAGGGAGAUAAAGUUUUUUUUUUUUGAUGUUUACACAAAGCAAAGAAGCAGUGAAAUUAAGCAUCGGUGAAGCUUGCUGGCUUGUAGGCGAUGAAACUGAUGCACUGGACUUGACGGGUGUUGUCGAAUCCGAUGAUCCUAAUGAAGGCCUGGGGGUACUCCUUCUUGCACUCUUGCACUUCCUUCAACACUUGAGCUGAGUCAGUGCAUCCGAACAAAGGAAGCUUCCACAUUGUCCAGUACCGUCCAUCGUAGUAUCCGGGAGUGCUUCCGUGCUCACGGUGCACAAAUGCGUUCUACAAAAACACAUUACACAAAACCAUUCAAAAACAUAAAUCAAGAUUCUGCUUAGGACCUCUAAAUAGUUAUUAACUUGAUUGCAAGAUUCAUAUGGUCCAAGAGAUCAAGCUACUCUAUAAAUGAUUUUUAUUACCUCCAACUCGAAUUCAACACAGGGAAUCCACUUGUUGCGGAGAAGGUAGUCAACUUCCUUAGCCAAUUCAACUUCGGUUAGGUCAGGAAGGUAAGAGAGAGUCUCAAACUUCUUCUUACCAAUAGGAGGCCACACCUAUUUUUUGCCAUUUUUCCAAAAUCAACAAAAACAAUAUUAGUUUAUAUGAUUCGAUAAAUCAAAAACCCAUAAAUUUGUUUUUGGUAUAAGAGAUUUGACCUGCAUGCAGUUAACUCUUCCGCCGUUGCUUGCGAUGGAAGUAAUGUCGUUGUUGGCCUUACGGGUCACAGGGAAAGCAGCGGAGGACUUAAGUCCGGUGAAAGGUGCGACCAUUGUGGCCUGAGCCGGAGAAGCGACCAUUGUAGCGGAAGAGAGCAUAGAGGAAGCCAUAUUGCCUUUACUCUUUUUGUGUGUGACUUAGGUUUGGUCUAGUGCUUUGGUCAUCUAUAUAUAAUGGUAACAACAAUGAUAACAAGGUGAGGGAGUGAUCGGAGGGCUCA